Molecule: long non-coding RNA, 54025 nt
Filed under: Hordeum vulgare
Lineage: Eukaryota; Viridiplantae; Streptophyta; Magnoliopsida; Poales; Poaceae
Description: long non-coding RNA (HVUL_LNC010906)
Source: RNAcentral
CGUCGACAUCCUCACCACGGCGACGGAGUCGUCCCCCAUCGCGUCCCCCAGGCUGCAGUGGGCGCACGGCUCCCUGAACGCGCUCUCCUGGGGCCUCCUGCUGCCGGUGGGCGCGGCGCUGGCGCGGUACCUCCGGCCCUGCGCGUCGGCGGGGCCGGCGUGGUUCUACGGGCACGCGGCGGUGCAGGCGACGGGGUACGCGCUGGGGGCGGCCGGGUUCGCGCUGGGGAUCGCGAUGGGGGCGGCGUCGCCCGGGGUGACGUACAAGCUGCACCGCGGGCUGGGCAUCGCGGCGGCGACGGCGGGGAGCCUGCAGACGCUGGCGGUGUUCUUCCGGCCCAAGACGACGAACCGGUACCGCAAGUACUGGAAGUCGUACCACCACCUGGUGGGGUACGGGUGCGUGGUGAUCGGGGUGGUGAACGUGUUCCAGGGCUUCGAGGUCAUGGGGCUCGGCGCGUCCUACUGGAAGCUCGGCUACUGCAUGGCGCUGGCGACGCUCGUCGGCGGCUGCGUGGCGCUGGAGGUGAACGCAUGGGUGGUGUUCUGCCGGAGGCAGCACGAGGAGAAGCUCAUGCGGCGGGAGGUGGAGGACGUCGUCGUCAAGGACAGGGCCGCCGCCUUCUAGGUUCUAGCUAGCGCGCCGCGCCAUGAUCGGCGCCGUUGCUUCCCUCUGUUUUACACCGGCACGCAGGGCUUUUUUUUGAGAGAGCGAAGAUACAUUGAGAAUGCAGACACGGCCACGAAGUAAUUGAAUGGGUGCGGUCACGCGCCACGUUACCGGGGACAGGCAGUGCUUAUUGGUUUGUCGGAAGGUGGGCGUGUGAAUUCCUUCCCGGGCUGGUGUGUGCCGUUGUACUCCACUGUUUUUCUUCUCCUAGUUCUUGAUCUAUAGUUCUACUAUACGAUAGUACAUAGAGGAAUUCAUGUACAAGUUGUUCCACUUUUUCAGUUUCUCAGUAUAACUUUGCACCUAGCCGAUUCUUGGUAAAGAAACCACGUCAUGAAUUGUGAAAAAAGGUCUGCUUUUUUUACGAAAGAGGCACCACAUCUCUUUUUUUUUUUGGCAGAGCUCUGCGCCGGUGCGCCUGCCGAAACUUUUGGCCGGCUGCGCGCGGGUCAUACGAUCCAUCAACCCCCGCGCGUCUGCAUCCUUGGAUCUGCAUGCAACAUCUUUUUCCCCGAUGCAGCAAAAAUCUGACACGACGCAGCAAUUUUUUCAACGCUUGCAACAAAAAACAAAAAAUAUAGUAAAAAAAUAUCUACGUGAUCGUAGCAAAAAAACGAAGCUGAUGUUGCGUGGUAGCAAAAGUCAAACGCCGUUUGUAACAAAUAUCUACGUAAACGUGUAUGCAACUUUUUAGUGAACGGUUGCAGCAAAAAAUAAUGCAGGUUGUAGCAAAAAUUAACACGGUUGUAGCAAAAGUAAAAAACAUCGAUUGUAACGAAAAAUCCGACGAACUGGAGUUGCAACCAAACGUAUAUGCAUCUUUUUUACUGAACAUAUGUAGAAAAUAAAAACGUUUGUAGCAAAUAUGACGCUGGUUGCAAUAUUUUAGACAGAAAAAUGUUGCAUGCCCAGUCAGCGCUCAGCGCGCGAGCCGCGUGCGGCCGGCCGAACGGUUCGACCGGCGCACCGGCCAGAAACGAUUCCCUUUUUUUAAGGAUAACCUCCGGCCUCUGCAUGAGAGCAAUGUAUGUGGUCCCUUAAAUAAGAAUGCAAACACAAAGUCUGAAGUUCCGAAUAAUCUCUAACGAGUAAACAUAAACCAAAUAAUAAAAGUAAAGGAUGCCACAACCGGGAAAAAUAGGCCAAGUUGCCUAGCCAUCUAUCCUAUUACUGGACCGUCAUGGAGACCGGUUAUAGAUAUCCCGUGCUACUGUCUCCCAUCGGAUAGACCCAGUAACCAAAGGCUUCUUGAUUUCCGCAUGAGUGAGUAAGGACCACAUACGGAUGAAUGCCGACGCCCUGUGAAGUACCUGCAAAAAAUUUAUAUGUGUUUGUCUGUUUAAAGACCAAGUCAUUCCUUCAAUUCCAUAUCGCCCAAAGAAGUGUGCAAACUCCUAUGUGAAUAUGUCUAGCCAUAAUCAAGUCCACUCCAUUGAGCCACGCACCAAACAACGUGUCAAUGCUAUCAGGCGGUAUGAUAUUACAUGCUAUGAGGAUUGUCUGCCAUAAGAUUUUCGCUAAUGGGCAAUGGAGAAAAAGGUGUUUGAUUGUCUCCUCAUCAUCACAAAAGCUACAACGAGUACUCCCCUCCCAAUUGCGUCGUGUCAAAUUAUCCUUAGUGAGAAUCACCUUCUUGUGAACAAACCACAUGAAUACUUUGAUUCUUAAAGAAACCUUGAUCUUCCAAAUAUGAAUCGACUUGGGGACUACUGUUGUGUCAAUAAGGUUCACAUGCAUGGAUUUCAUAGAAAAGAUGCCCUUAUUUGUUAGCUUUCACUGAAGCUUGUCAGACUCAUCCGAUAGGUGAACAUCCAUUUGUCUUCUCACUAAGUGGAUCCACUCAUCCCAUCGAUGUCCUAUCAAAUCACGUCUGAAUUGAAUAUUUAGAGAAUUUGAUUGAAAUACUAUGGCAACGUACGCAUCCUUACGUUGCACAAUAUUGUAGAGAGACGGAUAUUGUUUGGCUAGAGGCGUCUCCCCCCCAACAAAGUAUCUUUCCAGAAUCUCGUAGACCGACCAUCUCCAAUGAUAAAUUUAGUUCUAUGGAAAAAUGAUGCUUUCACUUUCAUCAAACCUUUCUAGAAUGAUGAAUCAUUGGGUCUUGGUGUGAGCUGGGUCAAGCUUUUAGAAUGCAAGUACUUAUUACGCAAAAUUUGUAUCCACCUACCUUCAGUCUCUACAGAUAGUCUCAAUAGCCACUUACUAAGCAGGCAUUUGUCCUUAACCUCUAAAUUUUCAAUUCCAAGACCUCCCUCGUCCUUGGGUCUACAUAUAAUGUCCGAUCUAGUAAGUCUGUACUUCUUAUUUAUUUCAUCAUUUUGCCAAAAGAAACGAGAUCGAUAAAAGUCCAAUCUUUUGCGUACUCCUACAGGUACCUCAAAGAAGGAGAGAAGGAACAUAGGCAUACUUGUCAUGACCGAGUUAAUCAAAAUCAGCCUACCGCCAUAAGGCUAAAGCUUGACCUUCGAGCAGCUUAGCUUUUUCUCAAAAUGAUCCUCAAUACACUUCCACUCUUUGUUUGAAAGUUUACGAUGGUGAAUGGGUAUGCCUAAAUAACUGAACGUAAGCUCCCGAACUCAUAUCUGAAGAGUUGUUUAUAAUCAUCUUGUUCAUCUUUGGCUCUUCCAAAACAGAAAAAUUCGAUCUUGUGGAAAUUAAUUUUAACCCCGGCAACUGUUUGAAAAGGCAAAGGAUAAGUUUCAUGUUUCUUGCUUUUGCUAUAUCGUGCUCCAUAAACAAUAUAGUAUCAUCAGCAUAUUGUAGAAUAGACACCCACCAUAAACUAGAUGUGGUACCAGUCCACCUACCUGACCUUCCUCUUUAGCCCUUCCUAUUAGAAUUGCUAACAUGUCCGCAUUUACAUUAAAUAGGAUGGGUGACAUAGGGUCUCCCUGCCGGAGCCCUUUGUGCGUUUGGAAAAAAUGACCAAUGUCAUCAUUGAUUUUAAUUCCAACGCUCCCUUUUUGUACAAAUGAUUUGACAUUCCCUCUCCAUAUGUCAUCGAAUCCCUUCAUACGCGAAGCUUGUUGUAGGAAAGACCAUUUAACCUUGUCGUAUGCCUUCUCGAAAUCCACCCUGAAGAUAAACCCGUCUAGUUUACUCGAGUGGAUUUCAUGUAGGGUUUCGUGAAGGACAAGCACACCCUCAAGUAUGUUUCUCCCCGACAUGAAGGCUCUUUGACUAGGUUGCACGACAACAUGUGCAUUCUGUGUCAAUCUAUUAGUUCCAACCUUUGUGAACAUUUUGAAGCUCACAUUAAGAAGGCAAAUUUAUCUGAAGUUUUCAAUGUGUACUGCCCCUCCUUCUUUGACAACAACAUAACUGUCCCAAAGUUAAGGUGGAAAAGUUGCAGAUUGUCAUUAAACAAAUCCUGAAACAUCGCUAGUAAAUCACCUUUAAUAAUGUGCCAACAUUUAUUAUAAAACUUGACCGGGAACCCAUCCGGUCCUGGCGCCUUAUUAUUUUUCAUUUGUGAAAUUGCCUCAAACACCUCUUUCUUCAUAAAGGGUGCGGUUAAUAUCUCAAUCUCGUUUGUCCUGAGGAAUAUCACCCACCCACUGCUCAUUCAUGGACAACGUAUUGUCCUCAGGAGGUCCAAAUAGUUGCUUAUAAUACUCAGAUAUGUACACCUUUAGGUUUUCAUGCCCAACAACUGUACCAUCAUCUUGUUCAAGUUGAUAUAUUAUUUUCUUUGUGUUUUCCAUUGGCAAUAAGAUGGAAAAAUUAUGUGUUGUCAUCCCCUUGAAUGACGUGAUGCACUUUCACUCUAACUGCCCACUUCAGUUCUUCUUCUGUGAGGAUCUGUUUCAGAUUUUGCUCUGCCUCCGCUCUUAAUGCCCUCUCAUUAUCUUCCAAGAGGGCGGAUUCGGCUUUUAAAUCAAGCUCAUUUAUAAAUUGAGAUGACAACCAGUGAUACAAAGCUCCCCAAUAAAAAAUUGCAAUUGGGUACUUGGAUAAUCGACCCAACGCCCCCAUAGAAAGGGAGAUGAAGCAGGAUGAAGUACCACCAGAAAGGAGAUGAAGUGUCCCUCGCUGACGAUCAAGAAGGAGGAAAAUCUGAUGCCCUCCAUAAGAGACCAACGCAGCGGCGGCGACCCAACACACAAAUACAAGCUUUGUGACUCCACACCGACUUUGGAUCAUGCAUCGACACAACAACGAACCAGAGCAAAAUAUCCCUUUCAAGGUUUAAGUCGCCGCUACACCAGCCUUGAUCCAUUCCCAAGGGACAGCAGGAACACAUCUCCUUCACACAUUAACAGAUAUGUGUCAGGGUUGGUUGUUCUAGGAUUUUAAAUUUCCAUCAAAAUGACCCUUGUGCAUACGAGCCCCAGGAAUACUGUUAGGUAGUGCACAAUUCCUUCAUACAAAUAUCCAAGCAAUUACAUAAUUUUGGAGUACAAGACCAUCAUGGCCUAUGGAGUACAACAAAAUUGUGGGUGGUCGGGAUGCUGCCGACCUUUUUAGUGAGAAAACAUGGCAGAAUUAUCGCGUGUAGUGAUGAGGACAUCGAUACCAUAGUUACACCCACGACCCCUGUUACUACAUAUAUUGGGCCAAUUACUAGAGCUCGUGCACGCCAAUUAAAUGCUCAGGUGCAUCCAUUUCUUGGGAAUGAUUCUAAUGUUCAUGAGAAUAUUAUGCUGCCUAAACUAGAUACAUUUAUGUUUAUUACUAAUGAAGGGACUAGGAUGGACAAGAGGGGUGAACACUGGAGCAGGAUCAAGCAUGAAGAUGAAGGCGUGCACAAAGGAAACUAGAACCUCGUUUCUAGUGGAGUUUUCAGCAUUUUGAAGCCACAUGAUGACAUGCAAGGACAUGGUCGAAAUAUACAAGAUGAUCUUCCAUGAAUUUUCUCCAAAGUUUAUUAUAGGUUCCGCGUCACCUUAUUUUGGGGUUAGGUCCAUGUAAUUUCGAAAUACAAUUUAGUAGGAUCGUUUUAGAGUUUGUAUUAUAAGGGAAACAACUUAUGAGGUGUUUUCACUCCCAUCUUGUUAAGGUUGGACGAAAUCCCCUCCUUUCCCCCUAUAAAUACAACACUUAAGGCAUUGUUUAAACUUGGGCUUUGUUUAGAUUAAAGUUUGCUGCAGCUGCAACCCAUUCUGCAACUAGACCAAGAUGUCACAUAACCCCACUUUUAUCAAUAAAUCUUUCUUCUUAUAUUCGUAAUAUUCAAAUUGUAAUUUCAGUUUCUUACUUGUUCUUCAUUUGCAUGCAGGGAACAGAUCCUCGUGAUCAGGUUGAUCAUGCUCCGACAUGAUCAAUAACCUCUCAGAGUUGGUUUAGCAAUUGCUAAGGCGAAACCUCUUUGCACUGUCGUAGUCGGAUCAUCAAAAUCUAUUACACCGAAAAGGAUAGUUACCAUCUCAUCAAAAGAUGGUCCACCUUCACCUCUAUCAGGUAGUUGGCAUGCAACGAUCGUCAUUAAUUAGCUAAAUUCCCGAUGGGAUGGAAAUUCGAUCGUGUGUAUCCUUAACAGAGGGGGAAGGUGGGCCGCACAGGAGGACGAGGAGGGGCUAAAAUUUUCCUCCUCCGCAAACGGUUAGCAUGGAAAACCCUAUUCGGCGCUCCACGCGCCGGUUUAAGGGCAAUUUUCCUAACCGGUGCGUGCACCGUGUUAGCAGGCCUGGCCCAUUUACCUGUUUUUUCUUCCUCGUGUGAAAGGUAAAAAAGGAAGGCGACGGGGAGUUCGAACUCAGAAUCUGUUGGUUUACGUACUAGCGCACUCACCACUAUGGCAAAUACACCGAUGUGAAAAGUCAUAUUUUUCCCUUUUUUAUUUUCUCGAGUUCGCAAGAAGCCCCGAUUUUGGGAUGCUUGUAGAACUUUCUAAACCGGUUUUAUGUGGUUCGUUGGGUAAUUUUCCAUCUGGUUCUUAUUCGUUUUUUCUCUCUAUUUUAACGUUUCUUUUUCAAAAAUGAUGAAUUUUUUAAAAUUUUGAUGAACUAUUUAUAAAAAACUAUGAACUUUUUUACAAAUUUGGUGAACUUUUUUUAAGAUCGUUGAACUUUUUUUAAGAUCAAGGAACUUUUUCAGACAUGAUGAACUUUUUCGGAAUUGAUGAGAUUUUUUUCAAAUUCGAAUGGACUUUUUUAAAAUUCAUGAUUUUUUUCAUUUUUUGGAAAUCGAUGAACUUUUUUCAUUUUUUAAAUUGUACCUUUUUCCUUUUUAAGUGCAUAAUUGAAAGGAGGGAGCAGAAAAAACCAAACGGAUUUUAGCGAACGAAUAGUGACGAAUAGAGAACGAGCGAAGGAUUAGUGGGUGAGGCCUAAUAGGGAUCCCUAGUGUGCGGCAACUAAGUUAUUGGGCGCUGAAGGCCGGCAUUUCGUAUUUGACUCUAAAAACGUUAGUUAAUGUGCAUUUUUGUUAACUGAUGCCCGUGUCGUUCAAACUGGGCCAACCCAUCUAGGCGCUUAUGAUGUUUUUGUUUUUUUGAAAAUUCUAUGAACUUAUUUGAAUAUCGAUGAACUUUUUUUCAAUUUCAAAGAAUAAUUUUCACAAUAAAUGAACUUUUUUAAAUAAGGAUAAUUUUUUUUGAAAUUUUAUGAACAUCUUUUUGAAAAUGGAUGGACUUUUUUAAGAUUUAUGAACUUUUUUUUAGUUCAAUGAACUUUUGUAAAGAAUACAUGAACUUUUUUUGAACUUUUAUGCACUUUUUUUCAAAUUUAUUGAACUUUCUAAAAAAUUACUAAACUUUUUCUAAAUUGGAUGAAAAUUUUUCAUUUUAAAUGAACUUUUUUUCAAAUCCUGAACUUUUUCCAUAAUUGAUGAACCUUUUUUAAAGAUAUGAACUUUUAUCUUCAAAUGUGUAAACCUUUUUUAUUUUAUAUUUUUUCGUAAUAGAAAAUUAAAAAGGAAGAAACUGGACAACUUUUUAAUGGACCGACCCAUGCUUGCAGCGCUGCACGCGCCGGAUCGGUAACGGCUGCCUGUAGCGCUGCAUAGGAGCUUCCGUGGAGGCGUCGUAUAGGAGCUUGAUACGUCUCAAACGUAUCUAUAAUUUUUUAUGGUUUCAUGCUGUUAUCUUAUCAACUUUGGAUGUUUUAUGUACCUUUUAUAUCUUUUUGGGACUAACUUAUUAAUUCAGUGCCAAGUGUCAGUUCCUGUUUUUUUUUGUGUUUUUGACUCUUUUCAGAUCUGAUUUUGGAACGGAAUCCAAACGGAAUAAAAUCUCCGAGAUAAAUUUUUCAGAACAAAAGAAGAUCGGGGGACUUGAGGGCUGAUGACCCACAAGUAUAGGGGAUCAAUCGUAGUCCUUUUGAUAAGUAAGAGUGUCGAAUCCAACGAGGAGGAGAAGGCUGUGAUAAACGGUUUUCUGCAAGGUAAUAACUGCAAGCACUGAAAGUAGCGGUAACAAGUGAUGGUGUAGUGAGGUGAAACAUAACAAGCGAAAAGUAACAAGUAACAAGUAGUAGCAACGGUGAAGCAAGUGGCCCAAUCCCUUUUGUAGCAAGGGACAAGUCUGAAGAAAGUCUUAUAAGUGGAAAGCGCUCCCGAGGACACACAAGAAUUUCUGUCAUGCUAGUUUCAUCAUGUUCAUAUGAUUCGUGUUCGUUACUUUGAUAGUUUGAUAUGUGGGUGGACCGGCGCUUGGGUACUGCCCUUACUUGGACAAGCAUCCCACUUAUGAUUAACCCCUCUCGCAAGCAUCCGCAACUACGAAAGAAGAAUUAAGACAACGUCUAACCAUAGCAUUAAACUAGUGGAUCCAAAUCAACCCCUUACGAAGCAACGCAUAGACUCGGGCUUAAGCUUCUGUCACUCCAACAACCCAUCAUCUACUUACUACUCCCCAAUGCCUUCCUCUAGGCCCAAAUAUGGUGAAGUGUUAUGUAGUUGACGUUCACAUAACACCACUAGAGGAAAAACAACAUACAUCAUAUCAAAAUACCGAACGAAUACCAAACUCACAUGACUAUUAUUAGCAUGACUUAUCCCAUGUCCUCAGGAACAAAAGUGACUACUCAUAAAGCAUAAUCAUAAUCAUGAUCAGAGGUGUAAUGAAUAGCAUCAAGGAUCUGAACAUAAACUCUUCCACCAAGUAAUCCAACUAGCAUCAACUACAAAUAGUAAUCAACACCACUAGCAACCUUACAAGUACCAAUCGGAGUCAUGAGACGGAGAUUGGUUACAAGAGAUGAACUAGGGAUUGGAGAGGAGAUGGUGAUGAUGAAGAUGCCUCCCCUCCGACGAGAGGAGUGUUGAUGAUGACGAAGGCGACAAUUUCCCCCUCCGGAAGGGAAGUUUCCCCGGCAGGAUCGUCCUGCCAGAGCUCUAGAUUGCAUCUGCUCAAGUUCCGCCUCGUGGCGGCGGCGAAACCACGAAAAAGCUCCCGAAUGAUUUUUUCUGAAAUAAAUCCUUCAUAUAGCAAAAGAGGGGGGCCAGUGGGCCGCCAGGGUCCCCACAAGCCCUGUUGCCGCGACCAGGGGGGUAGGCUGUGGCAACUAGGCUUGUGGGCCCCUAGUUGCUCCCCUCUGACACUUCUUUCGCCUAGUAAUUUUUAUAAAAUCCAAAAAAAAUCCACGUUGAUUUUCAUGACAUUUGGAGUUGCGCGGAAUAGAGCACUCAGACUUGCUCCUUUUCCAGUCCAGAAUUCGAGCUGCCGGUAUUCUCCCUCUUCAAAUAAACCUUGCAAAAUAAGAGAGAAAAGGCAUAAGUAAGGUUCCACAAAGUAUAAUAACAGUCCAAAAAGCGAUAAAUAUCAACAUGAAAGCAUGAUGCAAAAUGGACGUAUUAACUCCCCCAAGCUUAGACCUCGCUUGUCCUCAAGCGAAAACCAAGACCCAAAACAUGUCCACGUGUUUAGGGAUGAAGGUGUUGAUAAAACAAAAUACGGACAUGAGGGCAUCAUGACCAUACAUAGAACAGGAACACAUCAUAGAGAUUCUUAUGGGAAAGUAACAAUUGCUUCACAAAGCAAAGUAUGAAACAAAAACCUUAUCGAGAAGUGGCCAACAACCGUCCAAAGUCAUUGAAGCAAUUGCAAUUUAUCACAUUAUCAGAAAGAGUCCAAUAAGAGCUUGUAAGGCAAAUCCACAUACUCAAUCAUCUCUUUUGUUUUCCAUCAUUGUUACUACUCACGUGGUACUCAUGGUAUUGAAGUUUCAGUUGGACACAGAGAAAGAUAGGGGCUUAUAGUUUGCCUCCCAACCAUUUACCUCAAGGGUAAAGUCAACAAUAAUAAAGCAUAAGUACUUAGCUCCAAGUUGAUAUAUGAAUAUAGAUCUUUCCCAAGCAUAUGACGUUCACCAAGAAAAAGGCUAAAUAAGGAAUUGGUGAAGAUCACCAUGACUCUUACAAGGGCAAAAAGUAAAUGUACAAGAUAGGCCCUUCGCAGAGGGAAGCAGAGGUUGUCAUGCGCUUUUGAUGUUUGGAUGCGUGUCCUCUUAGUGCGGAGGAACGUCACUUUAUAUUGCCUCCUAUGAUAAAGAACUUUAUUAUGCAGUCUGUCGCUUUUAUGUCUUCCUCAUCACAGGUUCGUACAAAGCUUAUUUUCCACACACUAAUAGAGCAUACAUAUUAGAGAGCAAUUUUUAUUGCUUGCACCGAUGACAACUUACUUGAGGGAUCUUAUUCCAUCCAUAGGUAGGUAUGGUGGACACUCAUGGCAAAACUGGGUUGAAGGUUUAUGGAUGCACAAGUAGUAUCUCUACUUGGUGCGGGAUUUUUGGCUAAUAUGAGGUGGAAGCAAUCGUCACAUGCUAAGGGAUCUCUAAUCAUAUAACAUUGUUUGGAACUAAGCAAACACAAUUCAUUAUGUUGUCUUCCUUGUCCAACAUCUACUUCUAAGCAUGUAAUAGUUUGGCUAGUGCUCACAAUUAUAGAAAGUGCCUAAGAUGAUAUAUUUAUAUGUGAACCUCUCUGUCCUUAUUACUUCUUAUUAAUUGCAACAAUGAUUGAGGUCUAUGUUGGUCUAUCUCAACAAGUUUCAAUCAUCAUACUUGUUAUAAGUGAAGCUAUCACUUUCCAUAAUAUCAUCUCAUGAUCUCUCAUGCUAUCGUUCUUUUCAUACUUUUGAUCACGGCACAAAACAAAGCCCUUGACUAAGAUACUCUUUAUUAUAUAGCUCGCAAGCUCGAAUACAUCGGGGGAGAGACAAAAGUAAAAGACUCAAUCUAAAACAGUAAAGACUUAUUCCACUAAGAGAAGAAAUAAAAACUGAAAAGGAAAGGACUAAAACAAAGGUAAAAGCAAAAGAUAUAAAGGUGAUACGAUACCAGGGCAACUCCCCCAAGCUUGGCAAAAGCCAAGGGGAUUGCCCAUACCAAUGCUUAGUUGUCUUCCUUUGGUGGUGAUGGUGGUGGUGUUGUUGAAGUAGUCUUGAGCUUGUCUAAUUUCCACUUGAGCAAAAAGUUCUGCUCCCUCAGAUCGUCAUUUUCCUCCGCAAGCUUCAACACUCUAUGACAAAGUUCCUGCUUACUCUCGUGCAAGAAACGAGAAGGGAUAAACAAGGUCUUAGGCUUCUUCCUUUGGUCAGGGAGGCUUGACUUCUUGAACUCCACGUGAGUGCAUCCAGGUUGGGGUAAAGGAGCCUCCUCUUCAUCGGAACUCGUUUGUUCCUUCCCCUUGGGCUCAUAGUCCUCUUCCUCGUCAGUAGUCCAGCCAUAAGGCUCCAAGUCCCCAUUAAUCCUGGAGUUAGCAUGAUCAUCGGCCAUAUAGAUCUCUUCUUCUGAAUCUUGAGAAGACAUCUUGACCUAAAUCUGCGGCAGACAACAUGCUCGAAACAUCUUGACCUAAAACUGCACGAUACGGAGAUCAAAACCAUCUGGACCAGAAGGAGUGCUCCGCAAGAAAACAGAGUCCGGGAGGCACACGAGCUGCCGACAAGCCCUGUUGCCGCGGCCAGGGGGGAGGCCGCGGCAACCAAGCUUGUGGCCGCCUCCUGCGCUCUCCAGACUGCUUUUUAUUUUUCUAAUUUUCCAUAAAUUCCAAAACGGAGAAAAAUUCCUAUUGGAAAAGUUUCGGAGUCCAAUUACUUACUGAGACAUAUACCUCUUGGUUUUUAGGGUCUCAAACAGGCUGAUAAACAUCCCUUAUGUACUCCUCUGGAGUUAUGAUAUUGAUGAUAUUGGUCUCAACAUUUAUGGGAGUACCAGAGAUAUAAUGCUUGAUUCUUUGCCCAUUUACCACUCUAGGAAAAUUGCCUUCCGUAUUACUGAUUUUGAUGGCACCGGAAUGAUAUACUUCCUCGACAAUGUAGGGACCUUCCCAUUAAGAGAGAAGCUUGCCUGCGAAGAAUCUCAAACGAGAAUUGUAUAGUAGGACAUAGUGACCUACAUUGAACUCUCGUUUUUGUAUUCUUUUAUCGUGCCAUCUCUUAACCUUUUCCUUGAACAACUUGGCAUUCUCGUAUGCCUGGGCCCUCCAUUCAUCUAAUGAGCUGAUAUCAAACAAUCGCUUCUCACCGGCAAGUUUGAAAUCAAAGUUGAGCUCUUUGAUUGCCCAAUAAGCUUUGUGUUCCAGCUCAAGAGGUAAAUGAGAAGCCUUACCGUAAACCAUUUUAUACGGUGACAUGCCCAUGGGAUUCUUAUAAGCAGUCCUAUAAGCCCAUAGUGCAUCGUCAAGUUUGCUAGACCAAUUCUUUUGAGAUCUAUUCACGGUCUUUUGUAAGAUCAAUUUGAUCUCCCUAUUACUCAACUCCACUUGACCACUAGACUGAGGAUGAUAAGGAGAUGCAACUCUAUGGUUGACAUCGUACUUAGCGAGCAUCUUGCGGAAAACACCAUGAAUGAAGUGUGAACCGCCAUCAGUCAUCAGAUAUCUAGGGACUCCAAAUCUUGGGAAAAUGUCUUCUUUAAGCAUCUUAAUAGAGGUGUGGUGAUCAACAUUUUUAGUGGGGAUAGCUUCUACCCACUUAGUGACGUAGUCCACAGCAAGUAAGAUGUGAGUGUAUCCAUUGGAGCUCGGGAAGGGUCCCAUAUAAUCAAAGCCCUAGACAUCAAAUGGUUCAAUGACCAGUGAAUAGUUCAUAGGCAUUUUCUGACGCUUACUGAUGUUCCCUAUUCUUUGGCAUUCGUCACAAGACAGUACAAACUUACGGGCAUCCUUGAAGAGUGUGGGCCAAUAGAAAUCUGAUUGCAAUACCUUAUGAGUUGUUCUGUCUCCAGCAUGGUGUCCUCUGUAAGCCUCGGAAUGACACUUCUUCAGGAUCUGUCCCUGUUCAUGUUCAGGCACACAAUGUCUAAUAACACCAUCUACUCCUUCCUUAUAGAGGUGAGGAUCAUCCCAAAAGUAGUGUCUCAAAUCAAAGAAGAAUUUCUUCUUUUGCUGGUAGGUGAAACUGGGUGGUAUGUAUUGGCUACGAUAUAGUUUGCGUAAUCAGCAUACCAUGGUGCACUAUGUGAAGUGCGGAUGACAUUCAAUUGCUCAUCAGGAAAGCUGUCAUCAAUAGGUCGUGGUGUUGGGGAACGUCGCAAGGGAAACAAAAAAUUUCCUACGCGCACGAAGACCUAUCAUGGUGAUGUCCAUCUACGAGAGGGGAUGAGUGAUCUACGUACCCUAGUAGAUCGUACAGCAGAAGCGUUUAGAGAACGCGGUUGAUGUAGUGGAACGUCCUCACGUCCCUCGAUCCGCCCCGCGAACAAUCCCGCGAUCAGUCCCACGAUCUAGUACCGAACGGACGGCACCUCCGCGUUCAGCACACGUACAGCUCGACGAUGAUCUCGGCCUUCUUGAUCCAGCAAGAGAGACGGAGAGGUAGAAGAGUUCUCCGGCAGCGUGACGGCGCUCCGGAGGUUGGUGAUGAUCUUGUCUCAGCAGGGCUCUGCCCGAGCUCCGCAGAAACACGAUCUAGAGGAAAAACUAUGGAGGUAUGUGGUCGGGCAGCCGUGAGAAAGUCGUCUCAAAUCAGCCCUAAUACCUCAGUAUAUAUAGGAGGGAGGGGGAGGGAAGAGGCAGCCUCAAACCCUCAAGGUUUGGCCGAAAUUGGAGGUGGAGGAGUCCUACUCCAAUCCUACUUGGAGUAGGAUUCCACCUUCCCACUUGAAAACUCUUUCCACCUUGUGUUUUUUCCUUCUCAAACCUUAUGGGCCUUAGUGGGAACUUAUUCCAGCCCACUAGGGGCUGGUUUAUCUCUUCCCAUAGCCCAUGAUACCCCUUGGGGCGUGACACCCCUCCCGAUGGUCCCCGGCACCCCUCCCGGCACUCCCGGUACACUACCGAUGAGCCCGAAACUUUUCCGGUGACCAAAACAGGACUUCCUAUAUAUCAAUCUUUACCUCCGGACCAUUCCGGAGCUCCUCGUGACGUCCUGCAUCUCAUCCGGGACUCCGAACAACAUUCGGUAACCAACCAUAUAACUCAAAUACGCAUAAAACAACGUCGAACCUUAAGUGUGCAGACCCUGCGGGUUCGAGAACUAUGUAGACAUGACCCGAGAGACUCCUCGGUCAAUAUCCAAUAGCGGGACCUAGAUGCCCAUAUUGGAUCCUACAUAUUCUACGAAGAUCUUAUCGUUUGAACCUCAGUGCCAAGGAUUCAUAUAAUCCCGUAUGUCAUUCCCUUUGUCCUUCGGUAUGUUACUUGCCCGAGAUUCGAUCGUCAGUAUCCGCAUACCUAUUUCAAUCUCGUUUACCGGCAAGUCUCUUUACUCGUUCCGUAAUACAAGAUCCCGCAACUUACAUUAAGUUACAUUGCUUGCAAGGCUUGUGUGUGAUGUUGUAUUACCGAGUGGGCCCCGAGAUACCUCUCCGUCACACGGAGUGACAAAUCCCAGUCUCGAUCUAUACUAACUCAACGAACACCUUCGGAGAUACCUGUAGAGCAUCUUUAUAGUCACCCAGUUACGUUGCAACGUUUGAUACACACAAAGCAUUCCUCCGGUGUCCGUGAGUUAUAUGAUCUCAUGGUCAUAGGAACAAAUACUUGACACGCAGAAAACAGUAGCAACAAAAUGACACGAUCAACAUGCUACGUCUAUUAGUUUGGGUCUAGUCCAUCACAUGAUUCUCCUAAUGAUGUGAUCCCGUUAUCAACUGACAACACUUGCCUAUGGCCAGGAAACCUUGACCAUCUUUGAUCAACGAGCUAGUCAACUAGAGGCUUAAUAGGGACAGUGUUUUGUCUAUGUAUCCACACAAGUAUUGUGUUUCCAAUCAAUACAAUUAUAGCAUGGAUAAUAAAAGAUUAUCAUGAACUAAGAAAUAUAAUAAUAACUAAUUUAUUAUUGCCUCUAGGGCAUAUUUCCAACACGUGGGUCAUCAAGGACAUUCUCUAGCCUAGACAAGUUAUCUGCUACAGGGUUAUCAACACCCUUUCGGUCAACAACAUGCAAAUCAAAUUCCUGUAGCAGAAGAACCCAUCUGAUUAGCCUAGGCUUAGCGUCCUUCUUCUCCAUGAGGUACUUAAUAGCAGCAUGAUCAGAGUGAAUAAUGACUUUGGAGUCAACUAUAUAAGAUCUGAACUUUUCACAUGCAAAUACGACUGCUAAAAACUCCUUCUCCGUAGUGGCAUAGUUUCUUUGGGCACUGUCUAGAGUUUUACUAGUGUAGUGAAUGACAUUCAACUUCUUGUCAACUAUUUGUCCUAGAACAGCACCAACAACAUAAUCACUAGCAUCGCACAUGAUUUCAAAGGGCAAGUUCCAUUCUGGUGGUUGAACAAUAGGUGCGGUUAUCAAGGCCUUCUUAAGUAUUUCGAAAGCUUCCUCACAAUCCUCAUCAAAAACAAAAGGAACAUCCUUCUGCAAGAGGUUGGUAAGAGGCCUAGAAAUCUUAGAAAAGUCUUUAAUGAACCUUCUAUAGAAACCAGCAUGACCUAGGAAACUCCGUAUACCUCUGAUAUCUGUGGGGCAAGGCAUUUUCUCAAUUGCAUCAACCUUAGCCUUAUCAACUUCAAUGCCUCUCUCAGAGAUUUUGUGUCCUAAGAUGAUGCCUUCAUUAACCAUGAAGUGGCACUUCUCCCAGUUCAAGACGAGGUUGGUAUCUUUGCAUCUCUGUAAGACUCGAUCAAGGUUGCUGAGGCAAUCGUCAAAGGAAGAACCGUAGACGGAGAAAUCAUCCAUGAAAACCUCAACAAUAUUUUCACAAAAGUCGGAGAAUAUAGCCAUCAUACAUCUUUGAAAGGUGGCUGGUGCAUUGCACAAGCCAAAAGGCAUGCGUCUACAAGCGAAUGUACCAAAGGGGCAUGUGAAGGUGGUUUUCUCUUGAUCAGAUUGUGCAACAGGUAUUUGCGAGAAACCUGAAUAACCGUCUAGAAAGGAGAAGUGUGUGUGUUUAGAUAGCCUUUCUAGCAUCAGGUCAAUAAACGGCAAAGGAUAAUGGUCUUUCCUAGUUGCCGUGUUCAGUUUCCGGAAGUCUAUCACCAUCCUAUAGCCAGUAAUAAUCCUGUGCGGGAUUAGUUCAUCCUUAUCAUUAGGAACGACAGUGAUACCUCCCUUCUUAGGUACGCAAUGUACUGGACUUACCCAAUCACUAUGAGCAACAGGAUAAAUGAUUCCUGCUUCAAGAAGCUUUAAUAUUUAUUUUCUCACGACCUCUUUCAUCCUAGGAUUUAAUCUCCUUUGAUGAUCAGCAACUGGCUUAGAAUCAGGAUCGGUUUUAAUCUUGUGCUGACAUAGAGUGGGACUAAUACCCUUAAGAUCAUCAAGAGUAUAUCCAAUAGCCUCACGGUGCUUCCUCAAAGUUUUAAUAACUUCUUCUCUUCGUGAUUCGAGAGGUGAGCACUAAUAAUAACAGGAUAUAUCUCCUUCUCAUCAAGAUAAGCAUACUUAAGAGUAUAUGGUAACUGUUUUAGCUCGAACACAGGAUCACCCUUUGGUGGGGGAGGAUCCUCAAGCAGUUCAACAGGCAGAUUAUUCUUGAGAAUAGGAUAUUGUUCUAAAACAAUUUUAUCUAUCUCAUCUCUUUCCUCCAUAUGCAUAUCAUUUUCAUGCUCAAGCAGAUAUUGCUCUAAAGGAUCCGUAGGAGGUACGGCAAUAGAGGCAAGAGCAAUGAUUUCAUCCCUACCAGACGACUCUUUUUCAUGGGGUUGUCUUCCAAACUUGGAGAAGUUAAAUUCAUGAGACACACCUUCGAAAGUAACAGUGACAGUCUGUUUAAUGCAAUCAAUGUGAGCAUUGACAGUGUUGAGAAAGGGUCUACCAAAUAUGAUGGGACAAAAGCUAUCUUGUGCAGUACCAAGGACGAGGAAAUCAGUAGGAUACUUUGUCUUACCACACAGGACUUCUAUGUCUCUCACAAUUCCUAGAGGGCAAAUAGUGUCUCUAUCAGCUAGCAUAAUAGUGACAUCAAUCGGUUCUAACUCAGCAGGUGCAAUCUCAUCUUUGAUUUUGUUGGGGAACGUCGCAAGGGAAACAAAAAUUUUCCUACGCGCACGAAGACCUAUCAUGGUGAUGUCCAUCUACGAGAGGGGAUGAGUGAUCUACGUACCCUUGUAGACCGUACAAAAGAAGCGUUAGAGAACGCGGUUGAUGUAGUGGAACGUCCUCACGUCCCUCGAUCCGCCCCGCGAACAAUCCCGCGAUCAGUCCCACGAUCUAGUACCGAACGGACGGCACCUCCACGUUCAGCACACGUACAGCUUGACGAUGAUCUCGGCCUUCUUGAUCCAGCAAGAGAGACGGAGAGGUAGAAGAGUUCUCCGGCAGCGUGACGGCGCUCCGGAGGUUGGUGAUGACCUUGUCUCAGCAGGGCUCCGCCCGAGCUCCGCAGAAACGCGAUCUAGAGGAAAAACCGUGGAGGUAUGUGGUCGGGCUGCCGUGGAAAAGUCGUCUCAAAUCAGCCCUAAAACCUCCGUAUAUAUAGGUGGGAGGGAGGGGGCCUUGCCUUGGGGUCCAAGGACCCUCAAGGGGGUCGGCCGAGCCAAGGGGGAGGACUCUCCCCCCCAAAACCGAGUUGGACUAGGUUUGGUGGGAGGGAGUCCCCCUCCCUUCCCACCUCCUCCUUUUUUUUCCUUUGAUUUCUUAUCCUUGGCGCAUAGGGCCCUUUUGGGCUGCCCCACCAGCCCACUAAGGGCUGGUGCUCCACCCUUAUGGCCUAUGGGCUUCCCCGGGGUGGGUUGCCCCCCCCCGGUGAACUCCCGGAACCCAUUCGUCAUUCCCGGUACAUUCCCGGUAACUCCGAAAACCUUCCGGUAAUCAAAUGAGGUCAUCCUAUAUAUCAAUCUUCGUUUCCGGACCAUUCCGGAAACCCUCGUGACGUCCGUGAUCUCAUCCGGGACUUCGAACAACAUUCGGCAACCAACCAUAUAACUCAAAUACGCAUAAAACAACGUCGAACCUUAAGUGUGCAGACCUUGCGGGUUCGAGAACUAUGUAGACAUGACCCGAGAGACUACUCGGUCAAUAUGCAAUAGCGGGACCUGGAUGCCCAUAUUGGAUCCUACAUAUUCUACGAAGAUCUUAUCGUUUGAACCUCAGUGCCAAGGAUUCGUAUAAUCCCGUAUGUCAUUCCCUUUGUCCUUCGGUAUGUUACUUGCCCGAGAUUCGAUCGUCAGUAUCCGCAUACCUAUUUCAAUCUCGUUUACCGGCAAGUCUCUUUACUCGUUCCGUAAUACAAGAUCCCGCAACUUACACUAAGUUACAUUGCUUGCAAGGCUUGUGUGUGAUGUUGUAUUACCGAGUGGGCCCCGAGAUACCUCUCCGUCACACGGAGUGACAAAUCCCAGUCUUGAUCCAUACUAACUCAACUAACACCUUCGGAGAUACCUGUAGAGCAUCUUUAUAGUCACCCAGUUACGUUGCGACGUUUGAUACACACAAAGCAUUCCUCCGGUGUCAGUGAGUUAUAUGAUCUCAUGGUCAUAGGAAUAAAUACUUGACACGCAGAAAACAGUAGCAACAAAAUGACACGAUCAACAUGCUACAUCUAUUAGUUUGGGUCUAAUCCAUCACGUGAUUCUCCCAAUGACGUGAUCCAGUUAUCAAGCAACAACACCUUGUUCAUAAUCAGAAGACACUGACUAUCAUUGACUAACUGGCUAGCCAACUAGAGGCAUGCUAGGGACGGUGUUUUGUCUAUGUAUCCACACAUGUAAAUGAGUCUUCAUUCAAUACAAUUAUAGCAUGGAUAAUAAACUAUUAUCUUGAUACAGGAAUUAUAAUAAUAACUACAUUUAUUAUUGCCUCUAGGGCAUAAUUCCAACAGUCUCCCACUUGCACUAGAGUCAAUAAUCCAGCCCUCACAUCACCAUGUGAAUUACAUUGUAAUAAAUCUAACACCCAUACAGUUCUGGUGUCGAUCAUGUUUUGGCCGUGGAAGAGGUUUAGUCAGCGGGUCUGCUACAGUCAGAUCCGUGUGCACUUUGCAUAUAUUCACGUCCUCUUCCUCGACGUAGUCGCGGAUGAGGUUGAAGCGUCGUUUGAUGUGUCUAGUCUUCUUGUGAAAACGCGGUUCCUUUGCUAAGGCAAUGGCACCCGUGUUGUCACAGAACAAGGUUAUUGGAUCCAGUGCACUUGGCACCACUCCAAGAUCCGUCAUGAACUGCUUCAUCCAGACACCCUCCUUAGUUGCCUCCGAGGCAGCCAUGUACUCCGCUUCACAUGUAGAAUCUGCUACGACGCUUUGCUUGGAACUGCACCAGCUUACUGCACCCCCAUUAAGAAUAAAUACGUAUCCGGUUUGCGACUUAGAGUCGUCCGGAUCUGUGUUAAAGCUUGCAUCGAUGUAACCUUUUACGGCGAGCUCUUCGUCACCUCCAUACACGAGAAACAUCUCCUUAGUCCUUUUCAGGUACUUCAGGAUAUUCUUGACCGUUGUCCAGUGAUCCACUCCUGGAUUACUCUGGAACCUACCUGCCAUACUUAUGGCCAGGCUAACAUCCGGUCUAGUGCACAGCAUCGCAUACAUGAUAGAACCUAUGGCUGAAGCAUAGGGGACGGAGCGCAUAUGCUCUCUAUCUUCAUCAGUUGCUGGGCACUGAGUCUUACUCAAUCUCGUACCUUGUAAAACUGGCAAGAACCCUUUCUUGGAUUGUUCCAUUUUGAACCUCUUCAAAACUUUAUCAAGGUAUGUGCUUUGUGAAAGUCCUAUCAGGCGUUUUGAUCUAUCCCUAUAGAUCUUAAUGCCUAGAUUGUAAGCAGCUUCUCCUAGGUCCUUCAUAGAGAAACUUUUAUUCAAGUAACCUUUUAUGCUCUCCAAAAGCUCUACGUUGUUUCCAAUCAGUAAUAUGUCAUCCACAUAUAAUAUUAGAAACGCCACAGAGCUCCCACUCACUUUCUUGUAAAUACAAGAUUCUCCAACCACUUGUAUAAACCCAAAUGCUUUGAUCACCUCAUCAAAGCGUUUGUUCCAACUCCGAGAUGCUUGCACCAGUCCAUAAAUGGAUCGCUGGAGCUUGCACACCUUGUCAGCAUUUUUAGGAUCGACAAAACCUUCGGGUUGCAUCAUAUACAACUCUUCCUUAAGGAAACCGUUAAGGAACACCGUUUUGACAUCCAUCUGCCAGAUUUCAUAAUCGAAAAAUGCAGCUAUUGCUAACAUGAUUCUGACGGACUUAAGCAUCGCUACGGGUGAGAAAGUCUCAUCGUAGUCAACUCCUGGAACUUGUGAAAAACCCUUUGCCACAAGUCGAGCUUUAUAAACGGUCACAUUACCGUCAGCGUCCGUCUUCUUCUUAAAGAUCCAUUUGUUCUAAAUAGCCUUGCGGCCCUCAGGUAGUAUCUCCAAAGUCCACACUUUGUUCUCAUAAAUGGAUCCUAUCUCGGAUUUCAUGGCUUCUAGCCAUUUGUUGGAAUCUGGGCCCACCAUUGCUUCUUCAUAAUUUGCAGGUUCAUUGUUGUCUAACAACAUGAUUGAUAAGACGGGAUUACCGUACCACUCUGGAGCAGCGCGUGAUCUCGUCGACCUGCGUGGUUCAACAGAAACUUGAACUGGAGUUUCAUGAUCAUCAUCAUUAACUUCCUCCUCAACCGGCGUCGCAACGACAGAGGUUUCCCCUUGCCCUGCGCCACUAUCCAGAGGGAUGAGAGGUUCGACAACCUCGUCAAGUUCUAUCUUCCUCCCACUCAAUUCUCUCGAGAGAAACUCCUUCUCGAGAAAAGCUCCGUUUUUAGCAACAAACACUUUGCCCUCGGAUUUGAGAUAGAAGGUGUACCCAACUGUCUCUUUUGGGUAACCUAUGAAGACGCACUUUUCCGCUUUGGGUUCCAGCUUUUCAGGCUGAAGCUUUUUGACAUAAGCAUCACAUCCCCAAACUUUAAGAAACGACAACUUUGGCCUUUUGCCGUACCACAGUUCGUAUGGUGUCGUCUCAACGGAUUUUGAUGGUGCCCUAUUUAAAGUGAAUGCAGCUGUUUCUAAUGCAUAACCCCAAAAUGAUAACGGCAAAUCAGUAAGAGACAUCAUAGAUCGCACCAUCUCUAACAAAGUACGAUUACGACGUUCGGACACACCAUUACGCUGUGGUGUUCCAGGCGGUGUUAACUGCGAAACAAUUCCACAUUGUCUUAAGUGAGCACCAAACUCGAAACUCAGAUAUUCACCCCCACGAUCAGACCGUAGGAACUUGAUCUUCUUGUUACGAUGAUUUUCCACUGCAUUCUGAAAUUGCUUGAACCUUUCAAAUGUUUCAGACUUGUGCUUCAUCAAGUAGACAUAACCAUAUCUACUUAAAUCGUCAGUGAAGGUGAGAAAAUAACGAUAUCCGCCGCGUGCCUCUACGCUCAUUGGACCACACACAUCGGUAUGUAUGAUUUCCAACAAGUCACUUGCACGCUCCAUUGUUCCGGAGAACGGAGUCUUAGUCAUCUUGCCCAUGAGGCAUGGUUCGCACGUGUCAAGUGAAUCAAAGUCAAGUGACUCCAAAAGUCCAUCAGCAUGGAGUUUCUUCAUGCGCUUUACACCAAUAUGACCUAAACGGCAGUGCCACAAAAAUAUGGCGCUAUCAUUGUUUACUCUAACUCUUUUGGUCUCAAUGUUAUGUAUAUGCGUAUCGCUAUCAAGAUUCAAUAUGAACAAUCCUCUCACAUUCGGUGCAUGACCAUAAAAGAUGUUACUCAUAGAAAUAGAACAACCAUUAUUCUCAGACUUAAAAGAGUAACCGUCUCGCAAUAAACAAGAUCCAGAUAUAAUGUUCAUGCUCAACGCAGGCACUAAAUAACAAUGAUUUAAGUUCAUCACUAAUCCCGAUGGUAGCUGAAGUGACACUGUGCCGACGGCGAUUGCAUCAACCUUGGAACCAUUUCCUACGCGCAUCGUCACUUCAUCUUUCGCCAGCCUUCGUCUAUUCCGCAGUUCUUGUUUCGAGUUGCAAAUGUGAGCAACAGAACCGGUAUCGAAUACCCUGGCACUACUACGAGAGCCGGUUAAGUACACAUCAAUAACAUGUAUAUCAAAUAUACCUGAUUUUUCUUUGCCCGCCUUCUUAUCUGCCAGAUACUUGGGGCAAUUGCGCUUCCAGUGACCCAUACCCUUGCAAUAGAAGCACUCUGUUUCAGGCUUAGGUCCAGCCUUGGGUUUCUUCGGCGGAUUGGCAACAGGCUUGCCGAUCUUCUUCGAAUUGCCCUUCUUGCCUUUGCCGUUUCUCUUGAAACUAGUGGUCUUGCUCACCAUCAACACUUGAUGCUCUUUACGGAGUUCAGACUCUGCGACUUUCAGCAUCGCAAACAACUCGCCGGGAGACUUGUUCAUCCCUUGCAUGUUGUAGUUCAACACAAAGCCUUUAUAGCUUGGUGGCAGUGAUUGAAGGAUUCUGUCAGUGAUAGCUUCUUGCGGGAGUUCAAUCCCCAGUUCAGCUAGACGGUUUCAGUACCCAGACAUUUUGAGCACAUGUUCACUGACAGACGAGUUUUCCUCCAUCUUGCAAGCAUAGAAUUUAUCGGAGGUCUCAUACCUCUCGAUCCGGGCGUUCUUCUGAAAGAUAAACUCCAACUCCUGGAACAUCUCAAAUGCUCCAUGGCGCUCAAAGCGACGUUGAAGUCCCGGUUCUAAGCCAUACAAGACUGCACAUUGAACUAUUGAGUAGUCCUCCUUACGUGCUAACCAAGCGUUCUUAACAUCCUGAUCAGCCGUAGCGGGUGGUUCAUCUCCUAGCGCAGCAUUAAGGACAUAAUCCUUCUUCCCAGCUUGUAAGAUUAGCUUAAGAUUACGAGCCCAGUCUACAAAGUUGCUUCCAUCAUCUUUCAACUUAGCUUUCUCUAGGAACGUAUUAAAAUUCAGGAUGACAGUCGCGUGAGCCAUGAUCUACAACACAAAUAUAUUCAAAGUGGACUUAGACUAUGUUCAAGAUAAUUAGAGUUCAACUUAAUCAAAUUAUAUGCUAAACUCCCACUCAAAAAGUACAUCUCUCUAGUCAUUUGAGUGGUUCAUGAUCCACUUACACUAUCCCAAGUCCGAUCAUCACGUGAGUUGAGUAUAGUUUCAGUGGUAAGCAUCCCUAUGCUAAUCAUAUCAACUAUAUGAUUCAUGAUCGACCUUUCGGUCUCAUCUGUUCCGAGGCCAUGUCUGCACAUGCUAGGCUCGUCAAGCUUAAUCCGAGUGUUCCGCGUGCGCAACUGUUUUGCACCCGUUGUAUGUGAACGUUGAGUCUAUCACACCCGAUCAUCACGUGGUGUCUCGAAACGACGAACUGUAGCAACGGUGCACAGUCGGGGAGAACACAAUUUCGUCUUGAAAUUUUAGUGAGAGAUCACCUCAUAAUGCUACCGUCGUUCUAAGCAAAAUAAGGUGCAUAAAAGGAUUACCAUCACAUGCAAUUCAUAAGUGACAUGAUAUGACCAUCAUCACGUGCUUCUUGAUCUCCAUCACCAAAGCACCGGCACGAUCUUCUUGUCACCGGCGCCACACCAUGAUCAUCCAUCAACGUGUUGCCAUCGGGGUUGUCGUGCUACUUAUGCUAUUACUACUAAAGCUACAUCCUAGCAAAAUAGUAAACGCAUCUGCAAGCACAAACGUUACUAUAAAGACAACCCUAUGGCUCCUGCCGGUUGCCGUACCAUCGACGUGCAAGUCGAUAUUUCUAUUACAACAUGAUCAUCUCAUACAUCCAAUAUAUCACAUCACAUCGUUGGCCAUAUCACAUCACAAUCAUACCCUGCAAAAACAAGUUAGACGUCCUCUAAUUUUGUUGUUGCAUGUUUUACGUGGUGACCAAGGGUAUCUAGUAGGAUCGCAUCUUACUUACGCAAACACCACAACGGAGAUAUAUGAGUUGCUAUUUAACCUCAUCCAAGGACCUCCUCGGUCAAAUCCGAUUCAACUAAAGUUGAAGAAACCGUCACUUGCCAGUCAUCUUUGAGCAAAGGGGGUUGCUCGUAAUGAUGAAACCAGUCUCUCAUAAGCGUACGAGUAAUGUCGGUCCAAGCUGCUUCAAUCCAACAAUACCGCAGAAUCAAGAAAAGACUAAGGAGGGCAGCAAAACGCACAUCACCGCCCACAAAACCUUUUGUGUUCUACUCGAGAAGACAUCUACGCAUGAACCUAGCUCAUGAUGCCACUGUUGGGGAACGUCGCAAGGGAAACAAAAAUUUUCCUACGCGCACGAAGACCUAUCAUGGUGAUGUCCAUCUACGAGAGGGGAUGAGUGAUCUACGUACCCUUGUAGAUCAUACAGCAGAAGCGUUUAGAGAACGCGGUUGAUGUAGUGGAACGUCCUCACGUCCCUCGAUCCGCCCCGCGAACAAUCCCGCGAUCAGUCCCACGAUCUAGUACCGAACGGACGGCACCUCCGCGUUCAGCACACGUACAGCUCGACGAUGAUCUCGGCCUUCUUGAUCCAGCAAGAGAGAUGGAGAGGUAGAAGAGUUCUCCGGCAGCGUGACGGCGCUCCGGAGGUUGGUGAUGAUCUUGUCUCAGCAGGGCUCCGCCCGAGCUCCGCAGAAACACGAUCUAGAGGAAAAACUAUGGAGGUAUGUGGUCGGGCAGCCGUGAGAAAGUCGUCUCAAAUCAGCCCUAAUACCUCAGUAUAUAUAGGAGGGAGGGGGAGGGAAGAGGCAGCCUCAAACCCUCAAGGUUUGGCCGAAAUUGGAGGUGGAGGAGUCCUACUCCAAUCCUACUUGGAGUAGGAUUCCACCUUCCCACUUGGAAACUCUUUCCACCUUGUGUUUUUUCCUUCUCAAACCUUAUGGGCCUUAGUGGGAACUUAUUCCAGCCCACUAGGGGCUGGUUUAUCUCUUCCCAUAACCCAUGAUACCCCUUGGGGCGUGACACCCCUCCCGAUGGUCCCCGGCACCCCUCCCGGCACUCCCGGUACACUACCGAUGAGCCCGAAACUUUUCCGGUGACCAAAACAGGACUUCCUAUAUAUCAAUCUUUACCUCCGGACCAUUCCGGAGCUCCUCGUGACGUCCUGGAUCUCAUCCGGGACUCCGAACAACAUUCGGUAACCAACCAUAUAACUCAAAUACGCAUAAAACAACGUCGAACCUUAAGUGUGCAGACCCUGCGGGUUCGAGAACUAUGUAGACAUGACCCGAGAGACUCCUCGGUCAAUAUCCAAUAGCGGGACCUGGAUGCCCAUAUUGGAUCCUACAUAUUCUACGAAGAUCUUUAUCGUUUGAACCUCAGUGCCAAGGAUUCGUAUAAUCCCGUAUGUCAUUCCCUUUGUCCUUCGGUAUGUUACUUACCCGAGAUUCGAUCGUCAGUAUCCGCAUACCUAUUUCAAUCUCGUUUACCGGCAAGUCUCUUUACUCGUUCCGUAAUACAAGAUCCCGUAACUUACACUAAGUUACAUUGCUUGCAAGGCUUGUGUGUGAUGUUGUAUUACCGAGUGGGCCCCGAGAUACCUCUCCGUCACACGGAGUGACAAAUCCCAGUCUUGAUCCAUACUAACUCAACUAACACCUUCUGAGAUACCUGUAGAGCAUCUUUAUAGUCACCCAGUUACGUUGCGACGUUUGAUACACACAAAGCAUUCCUCCGGUGUCAGUGAGUUAUAUGAUCUCAUGGUCAUAGGAAUAAAUACUUGACACGCAGAAAACAGUAGCAACAAAAUGACACGAUCAACAUGCUACGUCUAUUAGUUUGGGUCUAAUCCAUCACGUGAUUCUCCCAAUGACGUGAUCCAGUUAUCAAGCAACAACACCUUGUUCAUAAUCAGAAGACACUGACUAUCAUUGACUAACUGGCUAGCCAACUAGAGGCAUGCUAGGGACGGUGUUUGGUCUAUGUAUCCACACAUGUAAAUGAGUCUUCAUUCAAUACAAUUAUAGCAUGGAUAAUAAACUAUUAUCUUGAUACAUGAAUUAUAAUAAUAACUACAUUUAUUAUUGCCUCUAGGGCAUAAUUCCAACAGAUUUCAUCAUAUAGGGAACGGUGUAUUGCACUAACACUAGCACCCAUAUCACAUAAACCGUGGUAACAGUGAUCUGCUAUCUUGACAGAAACAACGGGCAGGCCAACUACAUGUCCGUAGUUGUCUUUCGCGUGAGGUUUAGCAAUUCUAGUGGAGUCCUCACAGAAUUUGAUAACAUGCCCGUCUAUGUCUUCGGCUAAGAGAUCUUUGAUAAUAGCAACACUAGGUUAAAGUCUAAUUUCCUCACGGGGUGCAAGUGGUCUAAUGUAACCCCUACGUAUCACAGUUGGAGCUUUAGAAUAAUCCUUUAUCCUAGCAGGGUAAGGUGGUUUCUCAGCGUAGGCACAAGGAACAACAAGAUCACUAAAAGCAAUGACUUUCUCCUCAACUAGAUUGGUUUUGGCUAUGUUGCUUUCUACAGGAGGAUGAUAUUUAAACCACUUCUCUUUGGGAAGAUUAACAUGAGCACCAAAAGAUUCACAUAGAGAAGCUAUUAUCUCAGAGUCAAGUCCAUACUUAGCGCUAAAAUCUCUAGAAGUGUUUGUCUCAACAAAAGAUUUAACGCAAUCAAACUGGAAAUUCAUACUUGGCUCCUUACCUUCUUCCAGCUCCCAAUCUUCAGAGUUACGUUUGAUUAUUUCCAAUAAAUUCCACUUGUGGUCAAUAUCCUUCUUCAUAAAAGAACCAGUACAAGAAGUGUCAAGCAUGGUACGAUCUUCAUGAGAAAGCCGAGCAUAAAAGUUUUGAGUGAUAAUUUCUCUCGAGAGCUCAUGAUUGGGGUAUGAAUAUAGCAUUGAUUUAAGCCUCCCCCAAGCUUGAGCUAUGCUUUCCCUGUCACGAGGCCAAAAGUUAUAAAUAUAAUUCCGAUCACGAUGUACUAAAUGCAUAGGAUAGAACUUUUGAUGAAAUUCCAAUUUCAACCGAUUGUAGUCCCAUGAUCCAGUAUCAUCACAUAGCCUAUACCAUGUCAACGCCUUAUCCUUCAAAGAUAAAGGAAAGACUUUCUUAUUUACCUCAUCCUCGGGCAAACCUGCAAGCUUAAAUAAACCACAAACUUCAUCUACAUAGAUUAGAUGCAAGUCUGGAUGUGAAGAUCCAUCUCCUGUAAAAGGAUUAGCCAGCAGUUUCUCAAGCAUACCCGAAGGGAUUUCAUAAGAGAUAUUUUCAGUAGGUACCUCAGGUUGAGGAACAACUCCUCGUGCUUCCGUUCGUGGUGAAGAUACCCCGAACAAACUCCUCAAAGGAACAGUUUCCAUAGUGACAAGUGACAAUGAAUUUCAGCACAAUAUAUAAAUGUUUCCUUACCAAAUUCCACUUACCAAAGGCGCUUCCUCCCCGGCAACGGCGCAUGAAAAGAGUCUUGAUGACCCACAAGUAUAGGGGAUCAAUCGUAGUCCUUUCGAUAAGUAAGAGCGUUGAACUCAACGAGGAGGAGAAGGCUCUGAUAAAAGGUUUUCAGCAAGGUAAUAACUGCAAGCACUGAAAGUAGCGGUAACAGGUGAUGGUGUAGUGAAGUGAAACGUAGCAAGCGAAAAGUAACAAGUAACAAGUAGUAGCAACGGUGCAGCAAGUGGCCCAAUCCCUUUUGUAGCAAGGGACAAGCCUGAACAAAGUCUUAUAAGAGGAAAAGCGCUCCCGAGGACACACGGGAAUUUCUGUCAUGCUAGUUUCAUCAUGUUCAUAUGAUUCACGUUCGUUACUUUGAUAGUUUGAUAUGUGGGUGGACCGGCGCUUGGGUACUGCCCUUACUUGGACAAGCAUCCCACUUAUGAUUAACCCCUCUCGCAAGCAUCCGCAAAUACAAAAGAAGAAUUAAGACAACGUCUAACCAUAGCAUUAAACUAGUGGAUCCAAAUCAGCCCCUUACGAAGCAACGCAUAGACUGGGGUUUAAGCUUCUGUUACUCCAGCAACCCAUCAUCUACUUACUACUCCCCAAUGCCUUCCUCUAGGCCCAAAUAUGGUGAAGUGUUAUGUAGUCGACGUUCACAUAACACCACUAGAGGAAAAUCAACAUACAACAUAUCAAAAUACCGAGCAAAUACCAAACUCACAUGACUAUUAUUAGCAUGACUUAUCCCAUGUCCCCAGGAACAAAAGUAACUACUCACAAAGCAUAAUCAUAAUCAUGAUCAGAGGUGUAAUGAAUAACUUCAAGGAUCUGAACAUAAACUCUUCCACCAAGUAAUCCAACUAGCAUCAACUACAAAUAGUAAUCAACACUACUAGCAACCUUACAAGUACCAAUCGGAGUCGCGAGAUGGAGAUUGGUUACAAGAGAUGAACUAGGGAUUGGAGAGGAACUGGUGCCGAUGAAGAUGUUGAUGAAGAUGCAUCCCCUCCGACGAGAGGAGUGUUGGUGAUGACGAAGGCGACGAUUUCCCCCUCCGGGAGGGAAGUUUCCCCGGCAGGAUCGUCCUGCCGGAGCUCUAGAUUGGAUCUGCUCAAGUUCCGCCUCGUGGCGGCGGCGAAACCACGAAAACGCUCCCGAAUGAAUUUUUUUUUCUGGAACGAAACCCUUCAUAUAGCAAAAGAGGCGGGCCAGUGGGCCGCCAGGGUGCCCACAAGCCCUGUUGCCACGGCCAGGGGAUAGGCUGCGGCAACCAGGCUUGUGCCCCCCUGGUUGCUCCCCUCUGACACUUCUUUCGCCCAGUAUUUUUUAUAAAAUCCAAAAAAAAUCCACGUUGAUUUUCAGGACAUUUGGAGUUGCGCGGAAUAGAGCACUCAGACUUGCUCCUUUUCCAGUCCAGAAUUCCAGCUGUCGGUAUUCUCCCUCUUCAAAUAAACCUUGCAAAAUAAGAGAUAAAGGCAUAAUUAAGGUUCCACAAAGUAUAAUAACAGUCCAAAAAGCGAUAAAUAUCAACAUGAAAGCAUGAUGCAAAAUGGACGUAUCAAGGGCCAAGGCAGGAGAGCUACAGGGGGCCCACAAGCCAUGUAGCCGCCACCAGGGGGGCCGGUGGCUACCAGGCUUGUGGCCUCCCUGGCGCUCCCCUGCCCUAUCUCUUUCACCUAUAUAUUCCCUAAAAUCCAGAAAAAAAUGAGGUCAUCCACGAAAACACUUUUUCGCCGCCGCAAGCUUUCGUUUCCGCGAUAUCUCAUUUGGAGACCCUUCCCGGUGCCGUGCCGGAGGGGACUUUGGAGUUGGAGGGCUUCUACAUCAACAUCAACGCCUCUCCAAUGACUCGUGAGUAGUCCACUUCAGACCUACGGGUCCGUAGUUAGUAGCUAGAUGGCUUCUUCUCUCUCUUGGAUCUUCAAUACAAAGUUCUCCAUGAUCUUCUUGGAGAUCUAUCCGAUGUAAUCCUCUUUGGCGGUGUGUUUGUCGAGAUACGAUGAAUUGUGGAUUUGUGAUCAGAUUAUCUAUGAUAUAUAUUUGAGUCUUUGCUCAUUUCUUAUAUGCAUGAUUUGAUAUCCUUUUAAGUCUCUCCGAGUCUUGUGUUUUGUUUGGCCAACUAGAUCUAUGAUUCUUGUAAUGGGAGAAGUGCUUGGUUUUGGGUUCAUACCGUGUGGUGACCUUUCCCAGUGACAGAAGGGGCAGCAAGGCACACAUCGUGUUGUUGCCAUCAAGGGUAAUAAGAUGGGCUUUUAUCGUAGAUAUGAGAUUGUCCAUCUACAUCAUGUCAUCUUGCUUAAGGCGUUACUCUGUUCUUAUGAACUUAAUACACUAGAUGCAUGCUGGAUAGCGGUCGACGUGUGGAGUAAUAGUAGUAGAUGCACAAAGUAUCGGUCUACUUGUUUUGGACGUGAUGCCUAUAGAUAUAAUCAUUACCAUAGAUGAUGUCACGACUUUGCGCGGUUCUAUCAAUUGCUUGACAGUAAUUCGUUCACCCACCGUCUACUUGCUUUCAUGAGAGAAGUCACUAGUGAACACUACGGCCCCCGGGUCUAUUCACAACUAUCGUUUCCACUUUCGCUUUUACUUUGCUUUGUUUAUUUUUUGCUUUCAGUUCUCACUUUGCAAACAAUCUAUAAGGGAUUGACAACCCCUUCAUAGCGUUGGGUGCAAGCUCUUUGUGUUUGUGGAGGUACUUGUGACUCGACACGAUUCUCCCACUGGAUCGAUACCUUGGUUCUCAAACUGAGGGAAAUACUUACCGCCGCUGUGCUACAUCACCCUUUCCUCUUCAAGGGAACAUCAACGCAAGGCUCCAAGGCCGCGGGGAAAUACUUUGCAUAUUUGCCAAGGAAGUCCCUAUAGGCGUAGCCCGUGACAGAAGGAUUCCUGGCGCCGUUGCCAGGGAAGGUUUGUUGUCGCAGUAGCAGAAGGAUUUCUGGCGCCGUUGCCGGGGAGGAGGAUCGCUUGCGGAGGAGAGAUCAAGUCAAGAUCUAUCCAAGUAGGUGUCACAAACUCAUCUCUUGCAUUUACCUUUUUGCCAGUUGCCUCUCGUUUUCCUCUCCCCCACUUCACAUUUGUCGUUUUCAUUUGCCUUUUUCGUUUGCCUUUUCCGUUCGCCUUUUUGUUCGCCCUUUUUUCUCGCUUUCUUUCUGUUCGCUUGUGUGCCAUGUGCCUUCAGUAUGCUUGCAUCUUCGCUUGCUGAAAAUCUAGUGAUAUGGAUCCUCAUCAACUUGCUAAUCUCUUUAAGAGAUCCAAUUAUGUUGAUCCAAUUGCUAGUAAGUUGAGUGCACUUGACUUUCUUUAUAGAGUUUUGCUUGAGAUGCGUGAAUCUUAAAAUUGUGAGGAAGAAAUUUAUGAAGUGAUUCAUGAGGGCUCCUUGGAUGAAAAGCAUGAUUGCAAUGGUUUCACUAUAAAUUCUAUUAGUGACAAUCAUGCUAAAAAUAUGCAAAACCCUAACCUCAUGAUGAAUAUGAUAUUUGCAAUAAUAUUGAAAGUGGGUUUGGAGAAUUCAUGACUUUAGUUGAUGAUAAUCCCACUAUUUUUGAAGAGCAUCAACUUUGCAUGCAUGUGGAUCAUGAAAACAAUAUCCUAUGUGAUAUUUACAUUGUUGAAUUCGAAUAUGAUCCCACAUGUAAUUAUUAUGAGAGAGGAAAAUAUGGUGGUAGAAACUUUCAUAUCACUAAAUUACCUCUCGUUAUGUUGAGAUUGCUAUUGUCUCUUUCUUCUUCCUUGCAUAUGGUAACUAUUGGUUGUCUUGACGAUCUGUUUUCCUAUAAAAUGCCUAUGCAUAGGAAGUAUGUUAGACUUACAUGUGAUUUUUACAUGCUUCAUGAUGCUCUCGUUGUGCUUCAAUUCUUGUCUUUUGUGUGAGCAUCAUUGAACUAUCAAUGCCUAGCUAAGGGCGUUAAACAAUAGCGCUUGUUGGGAGGCAACCCAACGAAUCUAUCCUUUUUCUUUCUGUUUUGUGUUUUCCACACUUUCAUAAUUCUGUUAUGAUUGUGUUUUUUGUGUUUCCUUUUGCGUUUGUGCCAAUUAAAACCGUUAUGAUUAGUCUUGGGGAUGAUCGUUUGGUCAUGCUGGAAAAGACAGAAACUUUCUGCUCACGAAAAGAAUUUUCAUUUUUUUCCGUAAGAGCUUUUGAGUUGAUUCUUUUUGCUUCUGAUUGCUACACAAAUUCUUCAGACUGUCGUAAUUUUUCAGAAUUUUUGAAGUACAGAAGUAUACGAAGUAUACAGAUUGCUACAGACUGGUUUGCUGUUAACAGAUUAUGUUUCUAUUGAGUUGGUUGCUUAUUUUGAUGAAACUAUGGAUAGUAUCGGGGGGUAUUUGUUGGAAAUAUGCCCUAGAGGCAAUAAUAAAUUAGUUAUUAUUAUAUUUCUUAGUUCAUGAUAAUCGUUUAUUAUCCAUGCUAUAAUUGUAUUGAUUGGAAACACAGUGCAUGUGUGGAUACAUAGACAAAACACUGUCCCUAGUAAGCCUCUAGUUGACUAGCUCGUUGAUCAAAGAUGGUCAAGGUUUCCUGACCAUAGGCAAGUGUUGUCACUUGAUAACGGGAUCACAUCAUUAGGAGAAUCAUGUGAUGGACUAGACCCAAACUAAUAGACGUUGCUACUGUUUUCUGCGUGUCAAGUAUUUGUUCCUAUGACCAUGAGAGCAUAUAACUCACUGACACCGGAGGAAUGCUUUGUGUGUAUCAAACAUCGCAACAUAACUGGGUGACUAUAAAGAUGCUCCACAGGUAUCUCCGAAGGUGUUCGUUGAGUUAGUAUGGAUCGAGACUGGGAUUUGUCACUCCGUGUGACGGAGAGGUAUCUCACGGCCCACUCGGUAAUACAACAUCACACACAAGCCUUGCAAGCAAUGUGACUUAGUGUAAGUUGCGGGAUCUUGUAUUACGGAACGAGUAAAGAGACUUGCCGGUAAACGAGAUUGAAAUAGGUAUGCGGAUACUGACGAUCGAAUCGUACGGGAAAGUAACAUACCGAAGGACAAAGGGAAUGACAUACGGGAUUAUAUAAUCCUUGGCACUGAGGUUCAAACGAUAAGAUCUUCGUAGAAUAUGUGGGAUCCAAUAUGGGCAUCCAGGUCCCGCUAUUGGAUAUUGACCGAGGAGUCACUUGGGUCAUGUCUACAUAGUUCUCGAACCCGCAGGGUCUGCACACUUAAGGUUCGACGUUGUUUUAUGCGUAUUUGAGUUAUAUGGUUGGUUACCGAAUGUUGUUCGGAGUCCCGGAUGAGAUCACGGACGUCACGAGGGUUUCCGGAAUAGUCCGGAAACGAAGAUUGAUAUAUAGGAUGACCUCAUUUGAUUACCGGAAGGUUUUUGGAGUUACCGGGAAUGUACCGGGAAUGACGAAUGGGUUCCGGGUGUUCACCGGGGGGGGCAACCCUCCCCGGGGAAGCCCAUAGGCCUUGGGGGUGGCGCACCAGCCCUUGGUGGGCUGGUAGAACAGCCCAAGAAGGCCCUAUGCGCCAAGGAUAGGAAAUCAAAAAGAAAAGAAAAAAAAGAGGUGGGAAGGAGAGAAGGACUCCACUUUCCAAUCCUAGUUGGACUAGGAUUGGAGGAGGACUCCUCCUCCCUUGGUGGUGCAGCCCUUGGGGCUCCUUGAGCCUCAAGGCAAGCCUCCCCUCCCUCCUCCUAUAUAUAUGGAGCAAUUAGGGCUGAUUUGAGACAACUUUUGCCACAGCAGCCCGACCACAUAUGUGACAGCCCGAUGCCGACGUUCCAGAAGAUUCCCCUCUCUUUCCGUUUUCGUCGUGUGUCUAUUCUCUUUUGUCGCAUCAUCAUCAUCGCAUCAUGCGCAUCAUAUGCAUUGCAUCAGCAUCCCGUUGCCGCCCGUUUUCAAAACCUGCAUUCGCUAGUAGUCGCCGGUUCUCGUCGUUGUCCGUUCUGAGCCCGACCGCACUCGCACGCGCCCGCGGCACCGUCGAAACCCUGUUUUAAAAGUGUGCAUAAAACCUUCUCUGAUUGGGUUGAGAUUUGACGUGCGGUCGUUUUUUUAAUAUAGGUAGGCCGCCUGUCAAGUUUCGUCGCAAUCGGAGUCCGUCUGGUACCCGAACGGUCGUCCGUAGCGGCACCGUCUUCGGUCUAUCGCGGUCGUUUUCCCUCUCACCUCCGCCUAGCCACUCUUCACAGCCACCUAGACAUUCACGCGUCUGUGGCCGUUCGAUCGCGAUCACGUGGUCGAAAACGGAGUCGGAUUCGGAUAACCCUAGCCCCCUUUCCUAUUUAAUCUCCUCCUCCUCUCAUUUUGGACAGCCAAUCCCCCUUGCCUCGUUUUCCGUGCAAACCUAACCCUAGUCUAUCCACCUUUUCCACCUUUCAGAUCUGAUCUAGCCUCUCCAUCGAUCUAGACCGUUGGAUCGGAGAUCCAACGGAUGAAAAUACUCUUGAGCCUUCCAUGGAGCUCCUCCCGUGUCUCUCCUCGUGCCCGAGCUCCUUCCUCCCGAGCAUGGCCGCAGCUCCUCCCCGCUGCCGGAGCACCACCGGCCAGGCAGCAGCAGCCGUCGGAGCUUCUUCGCCGGGCCACCACCUUCUCCUCCCCUUUCCUCUCUCCUUCCUCUCCCUCUCCUUCCCUGCCUCGUCCUCACCUUCUUCUUCUUCUUUGCAGGUUCAAUGGCCGUCGUUGAGCUCGCCUGUGCGCCUCUCCAUGUCCUAUCUCUGGCCAGAUCCGGGAUGGAGCUGCCAGAUCCGCUCGUUCCCAUGCUCCUGUGGCCGCCCUCGCCCCAACCAGCCUCGUCACCCGGUUGCCGGCGCGUUCGUGCAUCUCCAUGGCCGACGGGAUCGGUUCCCCUGUAAGCUUCGUUCUGAAUCUGUUGCCUAGAGGUAAUAUAUGUUAGACGCUGACUUUAAUCAUGUGUUCAACGCUAGCUGAGUUGGCUAGGGCAGCCGAUCCCAUCUCCUAGCACCAGCAGGUCGAGGGUUCAAGUCCCCGUGAAUGCAUGUUUUUUAUAUGCAUUUUUUUCCUCUUGAGGAUGACCUCCUUCCUUUAUUUUAGUGUCUGUCCAGCCACUAUUAUUUCACAAACACUCGGUAGCCCAAUUGAUCAACUUUUGUUAGCAACCAUUGGAGUCCUGGGAUCAAAUCCCAGUGUCCUCCUUUUUUUUUGCUUUCGGGAAGAUUCUUUUUAGCUUUUGUAAAAUCCAUAUAAAUUCAACCGUGCGUCGGAUUGCGACAAGUUAGAUAUGUAACUCGUGUACAAUUUCGCGUAGAUUACGAAUUUGUAACUUGCAUAAAUGUUUGAAAUAGUUUGACCCGCCGAAUCCCUACAAACGCGUGCUGACCUAUUAUGUUUUGUCCCGUAUUAAUUUUCUCGUGCGUGUCUGGACUGUCCGUAUACCGGAGAUUAAAUGUCCAUGUUUUAGGGACCAUUUUUCCAUGAAUGUUAGAGCGGUCAUUGGUAUUUUUGCGUGUAGGGUUUGCCGGUAGUUUAUUUUCCAGUAUAUAGGUGAUUAUCUCGCAUUAAUGUGUGGCAUUAUUUUGUGUUGCAACCCCACAUAUUUUAUAUGUUUUCGGGGUAGAAAAAUACCAUGGAUUUUUAUGUGCAAUUAGUUUUGCCAUUAGAGCAAGUUAGUUCGUGAGAUAUUUUGCCAUGUUGCCCUUUUGUUUAAUUCGUAGGAUUUAUUCCGUGCGUUGUUUGACGGAGUUGUCAACUAGAGAGUUGAUCUUGGAUGUUUUGUUUAGCCUCUGGUAUUUUUAGUUGUAAUAGAAAUGCAUGUUUAGGUGUGUUUUUCUUGCUCGUAAGUUGCUAGAAAUAGUGCUGUUUUAGGGGUGCUGAAAUAUUUCUAAGUCUGGAAUCUGUUAUAUUUUGUUGCUGUCUUGUCUUGCUUGCAUCUUGUGAUCUGUAGCUCUUUUGAGGUUGGUCCAAUGGAGUUAGUUGUACCCCUUGUGUUUCUCUAGCAUGCUGUGAAUUUUCAUGCCAUUUGGAGACCUCUGGCUUAGGAUUUUGCUGCUGUCAAUAUGCCUUCAGGCUGAAAACUGCACUUUCAUGAUGUGUUAUUUUCACUAAGUCUGAAAUAGUGUGUGAGAUGCCAUUUUGUGUCUUCUUUUCCUAGUGCUCCUUGCUGCCAUGCUAGUUGUUGUUAGCUGUUCGUAGUAAUGCUUCUUUCCCUCUUCCAUGCCAUGCCUUACUUGAGCAUAUCGGAGUUGUGUAGCCGUAGUUGUGGGGCGUAGAAAAUGGUAUGUGGCUGAUUUUGGCAGAUUGUAGUGUUUUCUUGUUAUGCUCGUAGUUUUCGAACCGUAGCUCCGUUUUUUCUUGCUUAGAAUCUCGUGUAGUUUCAUUUUCUCUUGCUGUUUGUAUGUGUUGAAGUGCUCGUAGCCGCCGUUGCACACAUUUUUGCAUUCAUGCUAUCAUAUCUUGCGGUGCUUGUAUCUUUUGAUCCGUAGCUCCGUUGGAGAUGUUCUUUAUGUGUAGAUUGCUUGCCUUGAUGCGUAGAAUCAUGUGAACCUAUUUGUUUUGCGGUUUAACAACUAAUCAAAUGCAUUAGUUCAGAUCUGGACAGAAUUGUAAAUUAACAUGUGAGGUCGUCUCGGAGAUGCUAUAUGUCAUUUCGGACCUCACUUAAAAUGCCUAGAUAGGUAGUUUAACUUCCGCUUCACCUCUUACAUGUUUGACAACAUUAAUAUUACCGUGUAGAUAACCGGGAGUGAACUAAAUAAUUAACGUGGAAUUUCGUCAAUAUGCAACUCGUUGCAUAUUGAACUUCACUUAAUGUGUAGUUUUGAUUGUGUGAAUUUGUCAUGCCGUGACUUGCAUGUAUUUAGCUGUUCAUGCAUCAUAUGUGUUGUGCUUCGUGUGGUGAAUAUCGUGUGUUGAUGCUUGUUUCCGGUUUCCCCGUCUCGAUAGAGUUCCGCAAGCGAGUCGGAUGUGAGGACCCGUUCGACUACAUCGGUUCGUCUGCUUCACGGAGGCAUUCUUCUUCCAAGCGGGAUCUCAGGCAAGAUGAUCAUUUCCCCAGAUACCAUUACUAUCAUUGUCAUGCUAGUUAUUUCGAUGCUAUCGCUUAUGUCUCGUUGCCUACCACUGUUAAUUAUCAGCCUCUCAACAAUGCCAUGAAACCUUCAACCUCUUCAACCUAGCAAACCACUGAUUGGCUAGGUUACUGCUUGCUUAACCAUGUUGAUAGCGUUACUAGUUGCAGGUGCAGAUGCUUCCAUGCGAAAGCAUGGGUUCCUUGUUAUAUCACCAUAUUUAACUGCUAUUUAAUUUAAUGCACCUAUAUACUUGGUAAAAGGUGGAAGGCUCGGCCUUUCUAGCCUGGUGUUUUGUUCCACCUUUGCCCCUUUUAGUUACCGGCUACCGGUGUUAUGUUCCAUAAAUGAGCGCUCCUAACACGAUCGGGGUUGUUAUGGGGACCCCCUUGAUAAUUCGUUUUAGAUUAAAGCUGGUCUGGCAAGGCCCAACAUUGGUACUACAUUUGCCUAAUCACCUAAUAAAUUGCAUAGGGACCCGCCGGCACCCGCGGACUAUUUUAAUCAACCCCCGGGCCAGUGCUCCUCAUGAGUGUUGGUCCAAAACAGAGCAGCUUAUUAACGCUACCCGGGGCAACUCGGCGUUUGGCGUGGUAACCAUAGCUCAUCCGUCGUGUCCUGAGAACGAGGUACGCGACUCCUAUCGGGAUCAUCGACACGUCGGGCGGCCUUGCUGGAUUAGUUUUACCUUUGACGAAAUAUCUUGUGCAUCGGGAUUCCGGUGAUGCUUUGGGUAAUCUCAGAGUUGAGGUUUUCCACCAGGGAAUCCGUCGAGAUCGCGAGCUUCGUGAUUGAGGAUUUCUAUGCGGCUUGUGGUAAUUUGUGAUGGACUAGUUGGAGCACCCCUGCAGGGUUAAAUCUUUCGGAAAGCCAUGCCCGCGGUUAUGUGGAACAUGGAAGCUUGCAUGCNNNNNNNNNNNNNNNNNNNNNNNNNNNNNNNNNNNNNNNNNNNNNNNNNNNNNNNNNNNNNNNNNNNNNNNNNNNNNNNNNNNNNNNNNNNNNNNNNNNNCCCCCAAACCCAAAACCUUACGUACCAACGUUCGGUUUUGGGGGGGGAGAGUCCCUCCCCCUUGGCUCGGCCGACCCCCUUGAGGGUCCUUGGACCCCAAGGCAAGGCCCCUCCCUCCCACCUAUAUAUACGGAGGUUUUAGGGCUGAUUUGAGACGACUUUUCCACGGCAGCCCGACCACAUACCUCCACGGUUUUUCCUCUAGAUCGCGUUUCUGCGGAGCUCGGGCGGAGCCCUGCUGAGACAAGGUCAUCACCAACCUCCGGAGCGCCGUCACGCUGCCGGAGAACUCUUCUACCUCUCCGCCUCUCUUGCUGGAUCAAGAAGGCCGAGAUCAUCGUCAAGCUGUACGUGUGCUGAACGUGGAGGUGCCGUCCGUUCGGUACUAGAUCGUGGGACUGAUCGCGGAAUUGUUCGCGGGGCGGAUCGAGGGACGUGAGGACGUUCCACUACAUCAACCGCGUUCUCUAACGCUUCUUCUGUACGGUCUACAAGGGUACGUAGAUCACUCAUCCCCUCUCGUAGAUGGACAUCACCAUGAUAGGUCUUCGUGCGCGUAGGAAAAUUUUUGUUUCCCUUGCGACGUUCCCCAACAGUGGCAUCAUGAGCUAGGUUCAUGCGUAGAUGUCUUCUCGAGUAGAACACAAAAGGUUUUGUGGGCGGUGAUGUGCGUUUUGCUGCCCUCCUUAGUCUUUUCUUGAUUCCGCGGUAUUGUUGGAUCGAAGCAGCUUGGACCGACAUUACUCGUACGCUUACGAGAGACUGGUUUCAUCGUUACGAGUAACCCCCUUUGCUCAAAGAUGACUGGCAAGUGACGGUUUCUCCAACUUUAGUUGAAUCGGAUUUGACCGAGGAGGUCCUUGGAUGAGGUUAAAUAGCAACUCAUAUAUCUCCGUUGUGGUGUUUGCGUAAGUAAGAUGCGAUCCUACUAGAUACCCUUGGUCACCACGUAAAACAUGCAACAACAAAAUUAGAGGACGUCUAACUUGUUUUUGCAGGGUAUGAUUGUGAUGUGAUAUGGCCAAUGAUGUGAUGUGAUAUAUUGGAUGUAUGAGAUGAUCAUGUUGUAAUAGAAAUAUCGACUUGCACGUCGAUGGUACGGCAACCGGCAGGAGCCAUAGGGUUGUCUUUAUACUAACAUAUGUGCUUGCAGAUGCGUUUACUAUUUUGCUAGGAUGUAGCUUUAGUAGUGAUAGCAUAAGUAGCACGACAACCCCGAUGGCAGCACGUUGAUGGAUGAUCAUGGUGUGGCGCCGGUGACAAGAAGAUCGUGCCGGUGCUUUGGCGAUGGAGAUCAAGAAGCACGAGAUGAUGGCCAUAUCAUGUCACUUAUGAAUUGCAUGUGAUGUUAAUCCUUUUAUGCACCUUAUUUUGCUUAGAACGACGGUAGCAUUAUGAGGUGAUCUCUCACUAAAAUUUCAAGACGAAAUUGUGUUCUCCCCGACUGUGCACCGUUGCUACAGUUCGUCGUUUCGAGACACCACGUGAUGAUCGGGUGUGAUAGACUCAACGUUCACAUACAACGGGUGCAAAACAGUUGCGCACGCGGAACACUCGGGUUAAGCUUGACGAGCCUAGCAUGUGCAGACAUGGCCUCGGAACACAUGAGACCGAAAGGUCGAGCAUGAAUCGUAUAGUUGAUAUGAUUAGCAUAGAGAUGCUUACCACUGAAACUAUUCUCGACUCACGUGAUGAUCGGACUUGAGAUAGUGGAUUUGGAUCAUGUACCACUCAAAUUACUAGAGAGAUGUACUUUUUGAGUGGGAGUUCUUAAGUAAUAUGAUUAAUUGAACUAAUUGUCAUGAACAUAGUCUAAUGGUCUUUGCGAAUUAUGAUGUAGCUUGCGCUAUAGCUCUACCUUUUUUAUAUGUUCCUAGAGAAAAUUUAGUUGAAAAUUGAUAGUAGCAAACUUUGCAGACUGAGUCUGUAAAACCGAGGAUUGUCCUCGUUGCUACGCAGAAGGCUUAUGUCCUUAAUGCACCACUCGGUGUGCUGCACCUCGAGCGUCGUCUGUGGAUGCUAUGAACAUCCGACAUACACGUUGCUGAUGACUACACGAUAGUUCAGUGCAAAAUACUUAAUGGCUUAGAAGCAAGGCGUCGAAAACGUUGUAAAACGUCACGGAACAUAAGUGAUGUUCUAAAGAGAUGAAAUUUGUGAUUUCAUGCUUGUGCCCUUGUUAAGAGGUACGAGACCUCCGACAAGAUUCUUUGUCCACAAACCACAGGAGAAAAGGCUCAAUCGUUGAGCAUGUGCUCAGAUUGUCUGAGUACGACAAUCGCUUGAAUCAAGUGGGAGUUAAUCUUCCAGAUGAGAUAGUGAUAGUUCUCCAAAGUCACUGCCACCAAGCUGUGAGAGCUUCGUGAUGAACUAUAACAUAUCAAGGAUACAUACAAUGAUCCUUGAGCGAUUCACGAUGUUUGACACUGCGAAAGUAGAAAUCAAGAAGGAGCAUCAAUAGUUGAUGGUUUGUGAAACCACUAAGUUUCAAGAAAGGCAAGGGCUAGAAGGGAUACUUCGUGAAACGGCAAAACAGUUGCUGCACUGAUGAAGAGACCCAAGAUUGAACCCAAACCCAAGACUAAGUGCUUCUAUAAUGAGGGGAACAAUCACCGAGGCGGAGCAACUCAAGAUACUUGGUAAAUAAGAAGGCUGGCAAAAGUCGAAAGAAGAGUGUUUGAUGUGCAUGAUGUUGAUGUGUACUUUACUAGUACUCCUAGUAGCACGAGGGUAUUGGAUACCGGUUCGGUUGCUAAGUGAUUAGUGACGCGAAAUGAAAGCUACGGCAUAAACGGAGACUAGCUAAAGGCGAGGUGACAAUACGUGUUGGAAGUGUUUCCAAGAUUGAUAUGAUCAAACGUCGCAUGCUCCCUCUACCAUCGGGAUUGGUGUUAAACCUAAAUAAUUGUUAUUUGGUGCUUGCGUUAAGCAUGAACAUGAUUGGAUCGUGUUUAUCGCAAUACGAUUGUUCAUUUAAGGAGAAUAAUGGUUACUCUAUUCUCUUGAAUAUUCACCUUCAAUGGUUUAUUGAAUCUCGAUCGUAGUGUUACACAUGUUCAUGAUAUUGGUGCCAAAAGAUACGAGUUAAUGAUGAUAGUACCACUUACUUGUGGCUCUGCCGCUUGAGUCAUGUUAGUAUAAAUUGCAUGAAGAGGCUCCAUGCUGAUGGAUCUUCGUACUCACCUCAUUUCAAAUCACUAGUGACAUGCAAAUCAUACCACAUGAGCAAGGCCUUGUUUUCAUUGAGAUGAAAUAAGAUAGUAACUUGUUGGAAGUGAUACAUUUUGAUGUAUGCAGUCCAAUGGGUGCUGAGGCACGUAGUGGAUAUCAUUAUGUUCUUACUUCACUGACGAUUUGAGUAGAUACAGGAGUAUUUACUUAAUGAAUCACAAGUCUGAAAUGUUGAAAAGUUCAAUUCCGUUUCAGAGUGAAGUUCGUCGUAACAAGAGGAUAAACUGUCUACGAUAUGAUCAUGGAAAUGAAUAUCUGAGUUACGAGUUUUGGUACACAGUUAAGACAAUGUGGAAAUUGUUUCGCAGUUCAUGCCACCUGGAACAUCAUAGUGUGAUGAUGUGUCUGAACGUCAUAGCCACGCACUAUUUGGUAUGGUGCAUACUAUGAUGUCUCUUAUCGAAUUACCACUAUCGUUUAUGGGUUAUGCAUUAGAGACAACCGCACUCACUUUAAAUAGGGCACCGCAUAUUUCCGUUGAGAUGACACAGUAUAGACUGAGGUUUAGAGAAAUCUAAACUGUCGUUUCUUGAAAGUUUGGGGCUUCGACACUUAUGUGAAGAAGUUUCAGUCUGAUAAGCUCGAACCCAAAGCGGAUAAAUGCAUCUUCAUAAGGAUAUCCAAAACAGUUGGGUACAUCUCCUAUCUCAGAUUCGAAAGCAAAGUGUUUGUUUCUAGAAACGGAUCCUUUCUCGAGGAAAGGUUUCUCUCGAAAGAAUUGAGUGGGAGGGUAGUAGAACUUGAUGAGGUUGUUGAACCAUCACUUCAACCAGUGUAUAGCAGGGCGCAGGAAGUUGUUCAUGUGGCGCCUACACCAAUUGAAGUGGAAGCUGAUGAUGAUGAUCAUUGAGCUUCGAAUCAAGUUACUACAAACCUCGUAGGUCGACAAGGUCGCGUACUGCUGCAGAGUAGUACGGUAACCCUGUCUUGGAGGUCAUGUUGUUGAGCAACAGUGAACCUACGAGUUAUGGAGAAAGCGAUGGUGGGCCCAGAUUCCGACAAAUGGCUGGAAGCCAUGAAAUCCGAGAGAGGAUCCAUGUGUGAAAACAAAGUGUAGACUUUGGUAGAACUACUUGAUGGUCAUAGGACUAUUGAGUAAAAUGGAUCUUUAAAAGAAGACAGACGAUGAUGGUGAUAAGUCACUAUUAAGAAACGCUCGACUUGUCGCAAAGAUGUUUUCGAUAAGAUCAAACAGUUGACUAUGAUGAGACUUUCUCACUCGUAGCGAUGCUAAAAGUCUGUUAGAAUUAUGUUAGUUGUUGAUGCAUUAUUUAUGAAAUAUUGCACGUAGGAUGUCAAAACAUUGUUUUCUCGACGGUUUCCUUGAGCAAACAUUGUAUGUGAUACAACUAGAAGGUUUUGUAGAUCCUAAAGAUACUAGCAAGUAUGCAAGCUCCAGUGAUCCUUCAAUGGACUGGUGCAAGCAUCUCAGAGUUGGAAUAUACACUUUGAUGAGAUGAUCAAAGAUUUUGGGUUUGUACAAGGUUUAUGAGAAACUUGUAUUUCCAAAGAAGUGAGUGGGAGCACUAUAGAAUUUCUGAUAAGUAUAUGUGGUUGACAUAUUGUGGAUCAGAAGUAAUGUAGAAUUUCUGUAAAGCAUACAAGGUUGUUUGAAAGAAGUUUUCAAAGGAAUACCUGGAUUACGCUACUUGAACGUUGAGCAUCAAAGAUCUAUGGAGAUUGAUCGAAAGCGCUUAAUAGAAGUUUCAACAAGAUGCAUGCCUUGACAAGUUUUUGAAAGAGUUCAAAAUAGACCAGCAAAGAAGGAGUUCUUGGUUGCGUUGUGAGGUGUGAAUUUGAGUAAGACUCAAAACCCGACCACGGCAGAAUAAAGAGAAUAGACGAAGGUCGUCUUCUAUGCCUUAGCCGUAGAAUCUAAAGUAUGCCAUGCUGUGUACCGCACCUGAAGUGUGCCUUGACUCAAAGUGUGUUAAGAGGUACAGAGAGUGAUCCAUGAUUGAAUCACUAGCAGCGGUCGAAAUUUAUCCUUAGUGACUAAUGGACUAAGGAAUUUUUCUCGAUUAUGGAGGUGGUUAAAGAGUUUGUCGUAAAGGGUUACGUCAAUGCAAGCUUUGACACUAAUCCGGAUAACUAUGAGUAGUGAAACGGAUUCGUAUAGUAGAGCAGAUAUUUGGAGCAUUUCCGAAUAGCGCGUAGUAGCAGCAUCUAUAAGAUGACAUAAAGAUUUGUAAAGAACGCACGAAUCUGAAAGUUUCAGAACCGUUGACUAAAACCUCUCUCACGAGCAAGACGUGAUCAGACCCCAUAACUAUAUGGGUGUUGGAUUCGUUGGAAUCACAUGGUGAUGUGAACUAGAUUAUUGACUCUAGUGCAAGUGGGAGACUGUUGGAAAUAUGCCCUAGAGGCAAUAAUAAAUUAGUUAUUAUUAUAUUUCUUAGUUCAUGAUAAUCGUUUAUUAUCCAUGCUAUAAUUGUAUUGAUUGGAAACACAAUACUUGUGUGGAUACAUAGACAAAACACUGUCCCUAGUAAGCCUCUAGUUGACUAGCUCGUUGAUCAAAGAUGGUCAAGGUUUCCUGGCCAUAGGCAAGUGUUGUCAGUUGAUAACGGGAUCACAUCAUUAGGAGAAUCAUGUGAUGGACUAGACCCAAACUAAUAGACGUAGCAUGUUGAUCGUGUCAUUUUGUUGCUACUGUUUUCUGCGUGUCAAGUAUUUGUUCCUAUGACCANNNNNNNNNNNNNNNNNNNNNNNNNNNNNNNNNNNNNNNNNNNNNNNNNNNNNNNNNNNNNNNNNNNNNNNNNNNNNNNNNNNNNNNNNNNNNNNNNNNNGGUGUUUGCGUAAGUAAGAUGCGAUCCUACUAGAUACCCUUGGUCACCACGUAAAACAUGCAACAACAAAAUUAGAGGACGUCUAACUUGUUUUUGCAGGGUAUGAUUGUGAUGUGAUAUGGCCAACGAUGUGAUGUGAUAUAUUGGAUGUAUGAGAUGAUCAUGUUGUAAUAGAAAUAUCGACUUGCACGUCGAUGGUACGGCAACCGGCAGGAGCCAUAGGGUUGUCAUUAUACUAACGUUUGUGCUUGCAGAUGCGUUUACUAUUUUGCUAGGAUGUAGCUUUUGUAGUAAUAGCAUGAGUAGCACGACAACCCCGAUGGCGACACGUUGAUGGAGAUCAUGAGGAUGGAGAUCAUGGUGUGACGCCGGUGACAAGAAGAUCGUGCCGGUGCUUUGGUGAUGGAGAUCAAGAAGCACAUGAUGAUGGCCAUAUCAUGUCACUUAUGAAUUGCAUGUGAUGUUAAUCCUUUUAUGCACCUUAUUUUGCUUAGAACGACGGUAGCAUUAUGAGGUGAUCUCUCACUAAAAUUUCAAGACGAAAUUGUGUUCUCCCCGACUGUACACCGUUGCGACAGUUCGUCGUUUAGAGACACCACGUGAUGAUCGGGUGUGAUAGACUCAACGUUCACAUACAACGGGUGCAAAACAGUUGCGCACGCGGAACACUCGGGUUAAGCUUGACGAGCCUAGCAUGUGCAGACAUGGCCUCGGAACACAUGAGACCGAAAGGUCGAGCAUGAAUCGUAUAGUUGAUAUGAUUAGCAUAGAGAUGCUUACCACUGAAACUAUUCUUGACUCACGUGAUGAUCGGACUUGAGAUAGUGGAUUUGGAUCAUGUACCACUCAAAUGACUAGAGAGAUGUACUUUUUGAGUGGGAGUUCUUAAGUAAUAUGAUUAAUUGAACUAAUUGUCAUGAACAUAGUCUAAUGGUCUUUGCGAAUUACGAUGUAGCUUGCGCUAUAGCNNNNNNNNNNNNNNNNNNNNNNNNNNNNNNNNNNNNNNNNNNNNNNNNNNNNNNNNNNNNNNNNNNNNNNNNNNNNNNNNNNNNNNNNNNNNNNNNNNNNUUUCCUCGACGGUUUCCUUGAGCAAACAUUGUAUGUGAUACAACCAGGAGGUUUUGUCGAUCCUAAAGAUACUAGCAAGUAUGCAAGUUCCAGCGAUCCUUCAAUGGACUGGUGCAAGCAUCUCGGAGUUGGAAUAUAUAUACUUUGAUGAGAUGAUCAAAGAUUUUGGGUUUGUACAAGGUUUAUGAGAAACUUGUAUUUCCAAAGAAGUGAGUGGGAGCACUAUAGAAUUUCUGAUAGGUAUAUGUGGUUGACAUAUUGUGGAUCAGAAGUAAUGUAGAAUUUCUGUAAAGCAUACAAGGUUGUUUGAAAGAAGUUUUCAAAGGAGUACCUGGAUUACGCUACUUGAACGUUGAGCAUCAAAGAUCUAUGGAGAUAGAUCAAAAGCGCUUAAUAGAAGUUUCAACAAGAUGCAUGCCUUGACAAGUUUUUGAAGGAGUUCAAAAUAGAUCAGUAAAGAAGGAGUUCUUGGUUGCAUUGUAAGGUGUGAAUUUGAGUAAGACUCAAAACCUGACCACGGCAGAAUAAAGAGAAUAGACGAAGGUCGUCUUCUAUGCCUUAGCCGUAGAAUCUAAAGUAUGCCAUGUUGUGUACCGCACCUGAUGUGUGCCUUGACUCAAAGUCUGUUGAGAGGUACAGAGAGUGAUCCAUGAUUGAAUCACUAGCAGCGGUCGAAAUUUAUCCUUAGUAACUAAUGGACUAAGGAAUUUUUCUCGAUUAUGGAGGUGGUUAAAGAGUUUGUCGUAAAGGGUUACGUCAAUGCAAGCUUUGACACUAAUCCGGAUAACUAUGAGUAGUGAAACGGAUUCGUAUAGUAGAGUAGAUAUUUGGAGCAUUUCCGAAUAGCACGUAGUAGCAGCAUCUAUAAGAUGACAUAAACAUUUGUAAAGAACGCACGAAUCUGAAAGUUUCAGAACCGUUGACUAAAACCUCUCUCACGAGCAAGACGUGAUCAGACCCCAUAACUAUAUGGGUGUUGGAUUCGUUGGAAUCACAUGGUGAUGUGAACUAGAUUAUUGACUCUAGUGCAAGUGGGAGACUGUUGGAAAUAUGCCCUAGAGGCAAUAAUAAAUUAGUUAUUAUUUUAUUUCUUAGUUCAUGAUAAUCGUUUAUUAUCCAUGCUAUAAUUGUAUUGAUUGGAAACACAAUACUUGUGUGGAUACAUAGACAAAACACUGUCCCUAGUAAGCCUCUAGUUGACUAGCUCGUUGAUCAAAGAUGGUCAAGGUUUCCUGGCCAUAGGCAAGUGUUGUCACUUGAUAACGGGAUCACAUCAUUAGGAGAAUCAUGUGAUGGACUAGACCCAAACUAAUAGACGUAGCAUGUUGAUCGUGUCAUUUUGUUGCUACUGUUUUCUGCGUGUCAAGUAUUUGUUCCUAUGACCAUGAGAUCAUAUAACUCACGGACACCGGAGGAAUGCUUUGUGUGUAUCAAACGUCGCAACGUAACUGGGUGACUAUAAAGNNNNNNNNNNNNNNNNNNNNNNNNNNNNNNNNNNNNNNNNNNNNNNNNNNNNNNNNNNNNNNNNNNNNNNNNNNNNNNNNNNNNNNNNNNNNNNNNNNNNCGUUCCAGCGCCACCGGCUGGGUCGCCUGGGGCAUCAACCCCGGCGGCGCCGGCAUGGCCGGCAGCAACGUCUUCCUCGCCUCGCAGGGCGGCGGCGGCGGCGCCGCCGUCUCCGUGCUCACCACCGUCCUGAGGAGCACGGCCCCGGCCCUGGACAACACCACCCUCCAGUUCGGCGUGCCGGUGCCGCCCACCGCCGAGUACGCGGCCGGCGCCUACACGAUCUACGUGACGGUGGCGCUGCCGGGGAACUCCACGCAGCAGAACACGGUGUGGCAGGCGGGGCCGGUCAGCGGCGGGGCCAUAAUGCCGCACCCGGUGUCCGGGCCCAACUUGCAGAGCGUUAAGAGGCAGGACUUCCUGUCCGGCUAGAGCGCCCGACGAGGCAUAUGUUUGUACGCAAAUACUGUCAGUGUCAUGAUCAUGGAGUAUAAAAUAAAUCGCACGGCUUAUUCCUCAUGUUCCUGCUAUUAGACGUCGACGUCGUAUCAAAUGAAGUGUGCGCUAAACACUGUUUAUACGCUCCCAGCCGGAUUUAGGGACAUGGCUUACGGCGAUUAGUAUUUUUUUUCCGACGAAUUCACAAAGCUUUAUUAAUACUAGCAAAAGGGCCCGUGCGUUGCAACGGGAGAAAGAAAAUACCACACGCUUUUAAUCUUUUUAUAAUCAUUUUGAUUUAUUAGAAUAAUAAGUUAACUAACUAAUGUAGCCAGUCCUAUCCUAUUUUGUUGAGAAAUCAACCCGUCCAUUGUUAAUUCCACCGUGAUGAGAAAUCGAACGGGACAAGCAAAGCAAAACAAAGAGGCUACGUGAAUUGAUCAAUGGACUGUUAUCUUAUUUCACCCAUGGGGUAGAGAAUGUGGGAUCAGAUGACAAACUGAAGGUGGUGUUCCAUUUUCUCUCUCUACAACAAUGCAAUCUUACAUUCAAUACAUUCAUUCAUCAGCAAAAAAAUUCUCACAAAACAAAAUUUCUUGCCGGUGCUUGGCACACGGUUGGAGAGCAUGGGGAGGGGAUCUCACCAAAUGAUGAGUUCCUGCCGGAGGAGGGGAUACGAUGAGGGGAGCAAGGGUUAGGCGCCUCUAUCUGGCCAUAAGGAGUCGCCGUUGCCGCGCCAUAACCUCGGAGUUCCCCGUGUGAGCCAUGGAGGCCCGCCUCCACCUGCAAGUACUUCGCUCCGCCGCGCCUUAUCCGCACGCCGUCGCCGUUCUGCAUCGAGUAGACGCAUCAUCCCAAGUCGAUGUAGCUGUCGCGUUGAUUUGAUCCAGAAGCUGUGCUCGAGCGCCGAAACAGGGGCAACAAACGGGCAGAGGUACGACCGCGGAGGCGGCUGGGUUGAGAUCGACAACAAUGGUGGUUGAGGUCGGCCGCGGCGACGAGUGGUGUGGCAGCGGCCUGGGCACAGGCCAGGGUGGACCAGGGUCAACGCGAUGCGCUCGAGCGCCGCAACGGGGGCAGUGAGCGGGGAGAGGUACAACCGCGGAGGCGGGUGGGUUGAGAUCGGCAGCGGUGGCGGUUGAGGUCGGCCGCGACGGCGAGUGGUGUGGCGGCCGCCUAGGCAUAGGCCAGGGGUGGCCGAGGGUCGAUGGGAGGAGGCGGUGCGUACGGGUAUAAUUUUUGCAGCGAAUCGUUUUUUCCUUUUGCGAUUACGAGAAGUAAAUGAUGGAGUGCGGGUUGAAUAACAAAAAUUACAGUUUUUUWWUAAAAUGCCAUGAUGGGUUUUCCGACGGAAGCAAUAGCCGCUUUAUUAUUAGGUAUAGACUAGCAAAAGGUCCGUGGUUGCAACGGAAGAAAAAAUAUCACACGGUUUUAAUUUUUAUAAUCAUUUUAAUUUAUUAAAAUAAUAAGCUAACUAACUAAUGUAGUAAGUCCUAUCCUAUUUUGUUGGAAAAUCAACCCGUCCAUUGUUAAUUCCAUCAUGAUGAGAAAUUGAGCGGGACAAUCAAAGCAAAACAAAGAGGCUACCUGAAUUGAUCAAUGGACUGUUAUCUUAUUUCACUCAUGGGCUAGAGAAUGUGGGAUCAGAUGACAAACUGAAGGUGGUGUUCCAUUCUCUCUCUCUACAACAACGCAAUCUUACAUUAAAUACAUUCAUUCAUCAGCAAACAAAUUCCCACAAAACAAAAUUUCGUGCCGGUGCUUGGCACACGGUUGGAGGCAUGGGGAGGGGAUCUCACCAGAUGAUGAGUUCCUGCCGGAGGAGGGGAUACAUUGAGGGGAGCAAGGGUUAGGCGCCUCUAUCUGGCCAUAAGGAGUCGCCGUUGCCGCGCCAUAACCUCGGAGUUCCCCGUGUGAGCCAUGGAGGCCCGCCUCCACCUGCAAGUACUUCGCUCCGCCGCGCCUUAUCCGCACGCCGUCGCCGUUCUGCAUCGAGUAGACGCAUCAUCCCAAGUCGAUGUAGCUGUCGCGUUGAUUUGAUCCAGAAGCUGUGCUCGAGCGCCGAAACAGGGGCAACAAACGGGCAGAGGUACGACCGCGGAGGCGGCUGGGUUGAGAUCGACAACAAUGGUGGUUGAGGUCGGCCGCGGCGACGAGUGGUGUGGCAGCGGCCUGGGCACAGGCCAGGGUGGACCAGGGUCAACGCGAUGCGCUCGAGCGCCGCAACGGGGGCAGUGAGCGGGGAGAGGUACAACCGCGGAGGCGGGUGGGUUGAGAUCGGCAGCGGUGGCGGUUGAGGUCGGCCGCGACGGCGAGUGGUGUGGCGGCCGCCUAGGCAUAGGCCAGGGUGGCCGAGGGUCGAUGGGAGGAGGCGGUGCGUACGGGUAUAAUUUUUGCAGCGAAUCGUUUUUUCCUUUUGCAUUACAGAUAAAUGAUGGAGUGCGGGUUGAAUAACAAAAAUUACAGUUUUUUUAUAAAAUGCCAUGAUGGGUUUUCCGACGGAAGCAAUAGCCGCUUUAUUAUUAGGUAUAGACUAGCAAAAGGUCCGUGGUUGCAACGGAAGAAAAAAUAUCACACGGUUUUAAUUUUUAUAAUCAUUUUAAUUUAUUAAAAUAAUAAGCUAACUAACUAAUGUAGUAAGUCCUAUCCUAUUUUGUUGGAAAAUCAACCCGUCCAUUGUUAAUUCCAUCAUGAUGAGAAAUUGAGCGGGACAAUCAAAGCAAAACAAAGAGGCUACCUGAAUUGAUCAAUGGACUGUUAUCUUAUUUCACUCAUGGGCUAGAGAAUGUGGGAUCAGAUGACAAACUGAAGGUGGUGUUCCAUUCUCUCUCUCUACAACAACGCAAUCUUACAUUAAAUACAUUCAUUCAUCAGCAAACAAAUUCCCACUAAAACAAAAUUAACUUGUCGGUCGGCGUGUCGUCGACGUACGGUACGGGUCGGANNNNNNNNNNNNNNNNNNNNNNNNNNNNNNNNNNNNNNNNNNNNNNNNNNNNNNNNNNNNNNNNNNNNNNNNNNNNNNNNNNNNNNNNNNNNNNNNNNNNUGCAAGCRAUGUAACUUAGUGUAAGUUACGGGAUCUUGUAUUACGGAACGAGUAAAGAGACUUGCCGGUAAACGAGAUUAGAAAUAGGUAUGCGGAUACUGACGAUCGAAUCGUCGGGCAAGUAACAUACCGAAGGACAAAGGGAAUGACAUACGGGAUUAUACGAAUCCUUGGCACUGAGGUUCAAACGAUAAGAUCUUCGUAGAAUAUGUAGGAUCCAAUAUGGGCAUCCAGGUCCCGCUAUUGGAUAUUGACCGAGUAGUCUCUCGGGUCAUGUCUACAUAGUUCUCGAACCCGCAGGGUCUGCACACUUAAGGUUCGACGUUGUUUUAUGCGUAUUUGAGUUAUAUGGUUGGUUACCGAAUGUUGUUCGGAGUCCCGGAUGAGAUCACGGACGUCACGAGGGUUUCCGGAAUGGUCCGGAAACGAAGAUUGAUAUAUAGGAUGACCUCAUUUGAUUACUGGAAGGUUUUCGGAGUUACCGGGAAUGUACCGGGAAUGACGAAUGGGUUCCGGGAGUUCACCGGGGGGGGCAACCCACCCCGGGGAAGCCCAUAGGCCAUAAGGGUGGAGCACCAUCCCUUAGUGGGCUGGUGGGGCAGCCCAAAAGGGCCCUAUGCGCCAAGGAUAAGAAAUCAAAGGAAAAAAAGGAGGAGGUGGGAAGGGAGGGGGACUCCCUCCCACCAAACCUAGUCCAACUCGGUUUUGGGGGGGGAGAGUCCUCCCCCUUGGCUCGGCCGACCCCCUUGAGGGUCCUUGGACCCCAAGGCAAGGCCCCUCCCUCCCACCUAUAUAUACGGAGGUUUUAGGGCUGAUUUGAGACGACUUUUCCACGGCAGCCCGACCACAUACCUCCACGGNNNNNNNNNNNNNNNNNNNNNNNNNNNNNNNNNNNNNNNNNNNNNNNNNNNNNNNNNNNNNNNNNNNNNNNNNNNNNNNNNNNNNNNNNNNNNNNNNNNNGAGAUAUAGUGAGUUGACUAUUUAACCUCAUCCAAGGACCUCCUCGGUCAAAUCCGAUUCAACUAAAGUWGGAGAAACCGUCACUUGCCAGUCAUCUUUGAGCAAAGGGGGUUACUCGUAACGAUGAAACCAGUCUCUCGUAAGCGUACGAGUAAUGUCGGUCCAAGCCGCUUCAAUCCAACAAUACCGCGGAAUCAAGAAAAGACUAAGGAGGGCAGCAAAACGCACAUCACCGCCCACAAAAACUUUUGUGUUCUACUCGAGAAGACAUCUACGCAUGAACCUAGCUCAUGAUGCCACUGUUGGGGAACGUCGCAAGGGAAACAAAAAUUUUCCUACGCGCACGAAGACCUAUCAUGGUGAUGUCCAUCUACGAGAGGGGAUGAGUGAUCUACGUACCCUUGUAGACCGUACAGAAGAAGCGUUAGAGAACGCGGUUGAUGUAGUGGAACGUCCUCACGUCCCUCGAUCCGCCCCGCGAACAAUUCCGCGAUCAGUCCCACGAUCUAGUUACCGAACGGACGGCAACCUCCACGUUCAGCACACGUACAGCUUGACGAUGAUCUCGGCCUUCUUGAUCCAGCAAGAGAGGCGGAGAGGUAGAAGAGUUCUCCGGCAGCGUGACGGCGCUCCGGAGGUUCGGUUGACUGACCCUUCGUUCCUACGUACGUCCGACGGGCGUCCCGUCCCGGACGCUGNNNNNNNNNNNNNNNNNNNNNNNNNNNNNNNNNNNNNNNNNNNNNNNNNNNNNNNNNNNNNNNNNNNNNNNNNNNNNNNNNNNNNNNNNNNNNNNNNNNNAGCAAUGUAACUUAAUGUAAGUUGCGGGAUCUUGUAUUACGGAACGAGUAAAGAGACUUGCCGGUAAACGAGAUUGAAAUAGGUAUGCGGAUACUGACGAUCGAAUCUCGGGCAAGUAACAUACCGAAGGACAAAGGGAAUGACAUACGGGAUUAUAUGAAUCCUUGGCACUGAGGUUCAAACGAUAAGAUCUUCGUAGAAUAUGUAGGAUCCAAUAUGGGCAUCCAGGUCCCGCUAUUGGAUAUUGACCGAGGAGUCUCUCGGGUCAUGUCUACAUAGUUCUCGAACCCGCAGGGUCUGCACACUUAAGGUUCGACGUUGUUUUAUGCGUAUUUGAGUUAUAUGGUUGGUUACCGGUAMUGUAGCAUCAUUCCCACUCUUCUUUUGUACUGAUUUUGUUUUUUUUCAGAUUUCUUCAUUUCAUUGUUUCCACUGUUUCGCUUUGGUUUCCUUCGAUUUUCUUCGGGUUUCUAUUCGUUUCCUUYGUUUYCYAACGGUUUUUCGUUUUUCCUCUUUGUUGUUUCUUUCUUUUUUUUCUAUGGUUUUGCAUCUUUUUUAACUCAUGUCUAUUUUUUUACACACAAUGUACAUUUUUUGUAUACAUCAGAAAUAACUUUUAUACAUGGUUAAAUAUAUGAUUACCAGUUUUCUUAAACACAUGUUUCGANNNNNNNNNNNNNNNNNNNNNNNNNNNNNNNNNNNNNNNNNNNNNNNNNNNNNNNNNNNNNNNNNNNNNNNNNNNNNNNNNNNNNNNNNNNNNNNNNNNNCGGAACGAAACGUAAAACUAAAACUUACCGUACGACCGACCGAACGAACGUAACCUACUACUAGUGGUGAUCGUCCAUCUACGAGGAGGGAGUGAGUGAUCUACGUACCUAGUAGAUCGUACAGCAGAAGCGUUAGAGAACGCGGUUGAUGUAGUGGAACGUCCUCACGUCCCUCGAUCCGCCCCGCGAACAAUCCCGCGAUCAGUCCCACGAUCUAGUACCGAACGGACGGCACCUCCGCGUUCAGCACACGUACAGCUCGACGAUGAUCUCGGCCUUCUUGAUCCAGCAAGAGAGACGGAGAGGUAGAAGAGUUCUCCGGCAGCGUGACGGCGCUCCGGAGGUUGGUGAUGAUCUUGUCUCAGCAGGGCUCCGCCCGAGCUCCGCAGAAACACGAUCUAGAGGAAAAACUAUGGAGGUAUGUGGUCGGGCAGCCGUGAGAAAGUCGUCUCAAAUCAGCCCUAAUACCUCAGUAUAUAUAGGAGGGAGGGGAGGGAAGAGGCAGCCUCAAACCCUCAAGGUUGCCGAAAUUGGAGGUGGAGGAGUCCUACUCCAAUCCUACUUGAGUAGGAUUCCACCUUCCCACUUCGAAACUACUUUCCUACCUUGUGUUUUUCUUUCUUCUAACCUUAACUUAGGUCCGUUACGUUGGGUACGUUAGUUACUACGNNNNNNNNNNNNNNNNNNNNNNNNNNNNNNNNNNNNNNNNNNNNNNNNNNNNNNNNNNNNNNNNNNNNNNNNNNNNNNNNNNNNNNNNNNNNNNNNNNNNAAGGGUUGGGUUUGAGGGAUUCUGUUAUAAGGGUUGCAUUUGAGGGUUCUAGUCUUUGCCUCAAUCCCAACCCUUAAAACUGUCAUUUGAUAUAUCAUAAUUUUCAUCAUCUCAAUAACAUCGAAUAGUAUUUUCAAACACAUAAUAUUAAUUCAAUUUAUUACAACAAUGUUUUAAAGCAAAUUAUAAUAAUUGUUUGAAUCAAAUAGAACAUGGAAAAGUAAACAAAGGUAGAUCAUGGGACUUGGCGCCGUCCAGCCAACUGCCACUGGUGCUCUACUUGAUCAUCCCGGAGCUGCCACUGGUACGCACUAAACCCCAUGAUACCGACGGCGUAUCUACGAUGCUUGAAGUAAUCUGAGUCAGCCUCACAAUCGGUGACAAUUUUUACAAACAAACUACGACACAUUCGGUACCUUCUCCGGAAGAGGCGAGGUGGGUAUGUCGGUACCUCCGCGAAGUAGUCUCGCAUCAAAUGUUCAUGUCCGAGACAGCGGUUCCGGUAGAUGGUGACUCGCGCCAUCUUCGACCCUCUCCUCUGAUCCAUCAGCUUCACGCGGUCUUCAAACUCUUUCACGUCGACGAGGAGGCCCAUCAUCUCGAUGUCAUUGUCUUGAAGCAAGUCCUCAAUGUCCGAAUCGUCCGAUGACGACCAACCGGAAUCAUCGGACAACACAUCCAUCUACACAACACAAAACAAAAAAUGUAGUGUUGUUCUGUAACAAAAAUACAGGAAACAGGGCCGGCCGGAGCCCACGAUGGAGGAGGCCGACGGUGUGGACGAGCUCAGGGCGGUGGAGGAGCUCGGGGNNNNNNNNNNNNNNNNNNNNNNNNNNNNNNNNNNNNNNNNNNNNNNNNNNNNNNNNNNNNNNNNNNNNNNNNNNNNNNNNNNNNNNNNNNNNNNNNNNNNUUUUUUUUUUUUUUUUUACAACAGUUUGCACUUUGCAGCGGCCUAGAUAUCACAGCAGGAACCGGUCUCCCUCCCUCGGUUAUUCAGCGCCUUUUUUUAGACGAAGGUUUAUCGUUCAGCAGCCAACAAGACUCUGUCCCGCGUACCGGCGUGGAAGUUUCCACCCGCACGGCAACCUCCCCAACAACCGCGCCAUCACGUCGCCGGCUCGCCGGCAGUGGUACAUAUACCUCCUCCCCCCCCACCUCCUCCUCUCACCACCACCAGCUCCCAGCACCACCAUCUCCAUCGCCUCCCGCGCUCCAUUUCGCGCCUCGAACCUCGUGCUCUGACCUCCACCGCUGCCAUGGCGCGGCCAGGCCACUCCACGGCGUGGCUCCCCGUCCUGGUGCUGCUGCUCUCCGCGGCGGGCGCGACGGCGCAGAGCUGCCUCUCCGCGACCUUCACGUCCGGCCGCACGUUCCUCAAGUGCAACCAGCUGCCCGUGCUCGGCGCCAGCCUCCACUGGACGUUCCACGCCCAGAACGGCACCGCCGACGUCGCGUUCCGGGCCCCGUCCGGCGCCGACGGGUGGGUCGCCUGGGGCAUCNNNNNN